This 45576-nucleotide long non-coding RNA is filed under the name Homo sapiens (human). RNAcentral's name for it is "HSALNT0312162". Lineage: Eukaryota; Metazoa; Chordata; Mammalia; Primates; Hominidae. The record is from RNAcentral.
UGGAGACAUUAGAGAUAUUUGAAUAUGGACUGUAUAUUAAAUGAUAUUUGGGGAUUACUAAUUUUCUUUGCUGUGACAAGUAUGACAAAGCCCUUAUUUUUAAAACUUGCAUAUUAAGUAUUUAAGGAAGAAAUGUCCUGAUGACUGCAACUUUCUUCUCCCCCACACCCACAUAUCCACACACACACACCCAAAUAUGACAAUAUCAUUAUAAAACUAUAGUAAUCAAAACAGCAUAAUAUUGGUGUAAAGACAAAGUGUUCAAUAAAACAGGCUAGAGAGUCCAGAAAGAAAUGAAACAGAUAUAGACAACUGAUUUUUGACAAGGUUGCAAAGGCAACGCGUGAAGGAUGAGUCACUUUUCAAUAAAUGGUACUGAAACAAAUGGAUAUCAAAAUGGGUGGCUCAAAAUCUCAACACACAACAAGCACACACACCUUUCCAAAAGAAUGGGAACCAAUGUACCACAUUUACUACUUCCAUCUUAGUUUUCAGAGUCUGAUUCCACAGGCAUUAUAUUAACUAGGGCUCUUUUGUGGUUGAAAGCCACAGAAAUAGACUCUGGCAACUAUAGACAAAAGGAAAUUUAUUCAAGGGAGAUAUGGAUGCCUACAGGAUGCAAGUCAAGCCUGGGGAACCAGUUUUAUUAUGAUAUCUCCAAGGAACUCCAGCAAUUUGGCCACUUACUUUAGGGAGCCAAAGCUGAGAUGAAUUAAUUUUAGCAUUUGUUCUUCCUUCUACCACCCACUUCAAGAUUCAGAGUGGGGAGAGAGAAGCCAAUUGGUCCAGUUGGGUCCCAUGCUUGUGCUUGGCGACGCAAGCCCCCUGAGUGACAAUCCUCCAGAAGCAGGCACUUUAGGGAGGAAAGUCAUUGCUCCAAAAGGUAUCAGGGUGUGUUGCCAGAAGAAGAAGGGGUGAUGCUGGGCAGGGAAGAGCAACUGUGAUCACCACUGUCAGUGUUCCGCUUGGAGUCUUGGCACAACUGGGUGAUUAAUUCUUCCAUAGAGGGUGUGAUCCUACUUGAGUUCCAUUUAACAAGCUUGGGUGUGAAACUAGUAUUAAAGUAGUAUUAAUUCACAUUAUUUUUUGAAUUAAUAGUCAAAUUAUAAAAUAUCUUUCUCUGAAUCUCCAUCUUAUUGAUCUGGCAGAAACUCAACUGAGUCAUUAUUGCACCCAGGGGUCAGUAGGUGACAAGGCUGGAGCCCCGUGUCCUGGAACUAUGCCUGGAACAGCACUCUCUCUUCCAGAGCACUGAGAGGAUGCCAUGAGAGGCCUGCACUCACUGAGCCCCAUGAGCCCUUCUGGUCUUGAGGAAUCUUCUCCACUCCUCUGCGUUCUUCAUUUCGGCCUUCUCCCAUCUUCUAAGAAACCAAACUUCUUUCCCUCUCCCUGAACUAAUCCCUUCAAUGAACUUAAGAUUUGGGAGAAAAGUCAAGGAGGGAAGUUGUUUUCAGGGCGCUUCUACGUAAAGCUCUUAAUACCAACCUCUUUGGUCAGCGUGUAUGAGUCUGCUCAGGCUGCCGUAACAAAAUACCACAGGCUAAGUGGCUUAGACAACAGAAAUGCAUUUCUUCCCAGUUCCGAAGACUGGAAGUGCAAGAUCAAGGUAUCAGCAGGGUUUUCUUCUAAGGCCUCUCUCCUUGGCUUGCAGAUGGCCACCUUUUCCCUCUGGUUUUAGAGGGUCCUCUUCUAUGUUUGUCUGUGUCGUAAUCUCUUCUUAUAAGGACACCAGUCAUACUGGAACAGUGCCAGCCCAUAUGACUGCAUUUCACCCUAAUUGCCCAUUUAUUUAUUUUGAGACAGAGUUUUUUUUUUUUUUUUUAAUACUCUGUCAUCCAGGCUGGAGUGCAUGAUCUCGGCUCACUGCAACCUCUGCCUCCCAGAUUCAAGCAGUUCUCCUGCCUCAGCCUCUCAAGUAGCUGGGACUACAGGUGUGCACCACCAUGCCCAGCUAAUUUUUGUGUUUUUAGCUGAGACAGGGUUUCACCAUGUUGGCCAGGCUGGUCUUGAACUCCUGACCAGAAAUGAUCCGCCCUCCUUAGCCUCCCAAAGUGCUGGCAUUCCAGGCAUGAGCCACCGCGCCUGGCCAUGCUUUUAAAUCUGGCUCUGCUGCUUAUGGCCACUCAGUGGUCUUGGAAAAAUUAACCUUUCUAUGCCUCAGAUUUUCUAUCUAUAAAAUGGGUAAUUAUAAUACUGCACAAUCCUUAGGACUCCUGGCUGGUUACAAGUGAUAUUACGUGAAAUGUUCUUAGAACAGGGUCUGACAACUACUAAGUGCCCAAUAAGUGCUAGCUAUGAUUUAUUAUGUAGCAGCCAAUUUAAAAUCUUACCUUAAAAAUUAAGAAUCAUUGGAUGACUUGAAGAACAAUUUUAUUCUCAAAGUUGCUACACAAAUAGAAAUCAAUACCUCCCUAGCUAUCUGAGUGCCAGAUCUCUGAAGACCUAAUCCAUUUAAAUUGAGCAGUUGAAACAGUAAUCAUGAAGGCCUGUACUUUAUAAUAGUCAAUGGUCCUUGGACCAUUACUUAGCCUCCAUAGACUCUUGCUUUACAUAUAUUUCUAGCAGCCUUGCCUCUCAGGCUUUCCAGAAGCAGCAAAUUAGGAAGUAAAGAAGGAAGGGCUUAGAACUGACAGUAGCAAGAAGUGACAGCUGACAGCUUGACAGCUAAGGAAGAAGAGAGAAAAUUAAAAAGCAGAGCAAACAGUCCCACGUGGUCCAGUUCCCCCCGAGGGCCUCCCUGCCAGGAACAUGAUUGAUGUUCUUCAGGAUGACCUGCAGACCUGCGUCCCCAGCCAAUAAUGGUCCCUCCAUCCACUUGGCCAUCCGACCUAGAGAAAUCAGCCUCCUCUUCAGCUACUUCUCUUUCCUCCUGAAAUUUAGUUGGUCACCAAAUGCUAUUAAUUCACUUUGAAAUGUAUCUGGUCAACACACAUUUCCCAGCACUCUACUGUGAACCCUUUAUUAUUGCCUGCUGGACAAUUGUACAAGGGACUUCUACCUGGUCUUCCUACCUCAAGUCUCAGUGUCUACAGAAAGUAUAAUCAUGGCAAGGAUGGAAGUUGGAGACACACAGUAAGGGUUGCUGAGUAUCUACCGUGUGUGAAGUAAUAAUGCCCACUGUUCUGUUCAAAUUAUAAAGAAAAAAAGCUCCUCUUGACAUGUGCUAUUAAGAGUAUUAAAAGCUGCUAUUUUAAGGUAUUUUAGAAAAUAAGACUAAGUGUAUGUAUUCAGAAUGAAUUACAGAAAGUGAAGUGAUAGCUCAAUAAUUCAGAUCCCAAAUACCAGCCUCACUUCUUCCUUACCUCCUCUUCUUCAUCCAACUGUAUGGAUAAUUGAAAGAAACUAAGGGGCGAGGAGUGUCCCUUAAUUCUUGUGUCUUGGAGUGUCCCUUAAUUCUUCACUUUGAAUAGCACAACAUUUGGUUUUCCUUUUCUAUUUCAGUAUCUCACAUUAUUCUUCUGUUCAGACACCAUAUGAGCUUGAUGAAACAUUCAUCUUGUUUUUGUUUUCCUACAGAUAUAAAAUCUCUACACUGGCUCUCUUUUAAUCCUGCCCAUCCUGAUUUGCAAACCCUUCACAGUGGCACUGUGGCUAGAACAGUUGGCUGUGCUGCUGUGCUGGGUGUUCGCAGGUGUGUGGGUUUGCUGGUGAGAGAAGUUUUGCGUGUGAUGGUCUGCUGCUGCUGCCAGAAUCAUUUGGUUCUCUGUGCAGUAGGAUGCAGUGGCCAGCACACAUCUGGGGUUAUUAUUUUCCACUCACUUUAUGUGAGGCUGGACUCCAGGAGAGGCAUUAACACAAAUACAGUAAAGAACUUAAGAUCUGUAUCUUAAGAGAAUUCUUAUUAUUUUCCCUCUACCCGUACUCUGAGCUGAAUGCAAAUGUGCUUCCCUGUCGUUAAUGCAGGCAUUUCUAAUAAUCAGCAUCCUUCUGAUCAUUAGGUAGAUAAAGUGCCUUCCAAUUAUGAAUCUUAAAUGGAGCAUUUUGCCUGCUCUGAAGCAAUUUGCCAUUUAGCUCGAAAACCUUUUAGUAAGCAUAUUAGUUGACUCCAUUUAGGCAGGUACUUGUUCUGGUUGCUCCAGGAAGCACCCUUUAUUAACAACUCCCAGAUAUUAACAAAAUAUUGCUAUCAACACAUUGUCAUCACCUCCGUUGCCUGCACAUAUAGACUGCUGUCCUAGAUUUUCCUUUGUCAUUUGAGUAUGCCCUGUAAUUCCCCAUUCUUGCUCAGAAUCUCACUGAUCUCUGCCAUGCCUUGUCCUCAGAUCAACAGUGUUCAGUGUCUGUAUUCUGAUGAAUCACUCGACCACCAAGCAGUGCCUCAGAUGGCCAUGUUGCAUUGCCCUGAGACAGACUGCCCUUACACAGUGACAUUUUCCCCGCUAUGUCUCACAGCUUUGAGGCGUAUGUCAUGGAAUGUCACAGAGCCAAGUCAGAACUCUGCUUCCCCGCCAAAGCAAAGCAAAGCAAAGGGUGGGCAUAGUUCCACACACAAGUCAUGCAAACAAGAAGAGGAGAUUUUAUUCUUAAUAUCUAUCUAUUCACCGACCACCCACUCUCAGCCUUCCCUUGAUUUCUCAGGAUAAUGCCUAUUGAAACUCCAACCUUAUUCUGUGUUAUUUUAAUCUCUGAUGUGUUCACAUUGUGAGGAAGAGUCUGAGAGAAUGAGAACAGUUCUGUUUUUUUCUUUUUUUUCUAACCCUUUGGGCUAAUUUUACAUUUAUAGGAAGUAGAAACUGAUACAAAUAAAAUACUUUUGCUUUGAAUUGACAGGUGUUGCUUUUAUUUUUAAGUGUGGCUUUUGACCUGAAUUGUUCAAAUAAUUGUAUAAACCCAGCUUAAGAUGCUCUCAAUAUUUUCAGACCUGCUUAUAUAUUCAGUUUUUGUAUGUCUCCAUACACAAUUUUAUUUUGUUUUAUUUUUUUGAAAUGGAGUCUCGCUCUGUCACCCAGGCUGGAGUGCAGUGAUGCAAUCUCAGCUCACUGCAAACUCCGCCUCCUGGAUUCAAGCGAUUCUCUUGCCUCAGCCUCCUGAGUAGCUAGGAUUACAGGUGUGUGUCACCACACUCAGCUAAUUUUUGUAUUUUUAGUAGAGACAGGGUUUCACCAUGUUGACCAUGCUGGUCUCGAACUCCUAACCUCAAGUGAUCUGCCCAUCUCAGUCUCCCAAAUUGCUGGGAUUACAGAUGUGAGCCACUACAUCCAGCCUCCAUACAUAAUUUCUUUUCAUCCUCAUUCUUUUCUCUUUUUGUUGAAUUUUCUCUUCUAAUCCUUUAAUAAACAAUCUAGAACAUGUGUAAUUGAUGCCAGAGACAUAUGCACUCCACCUCCUCUGAAAGCUUGGGAAUACUAAGAAAAUGGUUUAUUUUUAUUCUUUAUUAAAGAAAUAUUAACAUUUAACUUUUUUCUUAUUAGACUUCUUGCUAUUAUAUAAGAUGAGACAAUUAAAAUGGUCUGUAAUUCUACUUCUCUGGUAUAAUUAUUGUUAACAUCAUGUAUAGCCACCUAGUCUCUUAUAAACAGAGAAAACAUGGUAAAUGCUUUCUGCACAUUUUAAAAGUCACAUUUAAUGGUAAAGUGAAGUGAAGAUUUGGUAGCAAAUUGAAAUAGCCUCAAUGUUCAAUAAUAAAUUAACUCAAAAUGAAUUUUUUCCUGAAAAGCUGAGGCCAGUCUAAUGUAGCUGUCUGAGAUUACCCCAAAUAUACAACUCCAAACUUCUAAUUAUGGUAUGUGUGGUGUCUUUUAACAAAAGUGAAAAGCUUAGCCACAAAAGAGCAGGAAGCUCAGAAACCUGCAAGAAGACUGGAUUUGUACAUCAGAAGCAGGAAUUUGUGUCCUCUAAAAAAUAGCCCACUAGGGAAUUAUUUUUUUAUUUUUUAUUUUUUUAUAGUCCGCAAAGUCCAUUAUAUUAUUCUUAUGCCUUUACAUCCUCAUAGCUGAGAACAUUUGAUAUUUGGUUUUCCAUUCCUGAGUUACUUUACUUAGAAUAAUGGCCUCUAGCUCCAUCCAGGUUGCUGCAAAAGUCAUUAUUUCAUUCUGUUUUAUGGCUGAGUAGUAUUCCAUGGUGUAUGUAUAACACAUUUUCUUCAUCUACUGGUUGGUUGAUAGACAUUUAGAUUGGUAAUAUUUUUGCAAUUGCAAAUUGUGCUGCUAUGAAGAUGUGGGUGCAAGUGUCUUCUUCAAAAAAUGACUUAUUUUCCUCUGGGUAGAUAAUCAGUAGUGGGAUUGCUGGAUUGAAUGGUAGUUCUAUUUUUAGUUCUUUAAGCAGUCUCCACACUAUUUUCCCGAGUCAUUGUACUAGUUUACAUUCCCACCAGCAGUGUAAAAGUGUUCCCUUUACACCACAUCCACACCAACAUCUAUUAUUUUUUGACUGUUUAAUUAUAACCAUUCUUGGAGGAGUAAGGUGGUAUCUCAUUGUGGUUUUAACUUGCAUUUCCCUGAUAAUCACUGAGGUUGACCAUUUUUUUCAUGUUUGUUAGCUAUUUGUAUAUCAUCUUUUGAGAAUUGUCUAUUCAUGUCCUUUGCCCACUUUUGAUGGGGUUAUUUGUUUUUUCUUACUCAUUUGUUUGAGUUACUUGUAGAUUCUGGAUAUUAGUCCUUUGUUGAAUGCAUAGUUUGCAAGUCAAAUAUCUUUUUAAUGGGAAUCAUUAAACCAGUCUGGAAAAGAACGCUGGUAUUUUAUAUAAAUUUUAUAUCCAGAGUAACAUUUCUACCAUUGGUCUAUAGAAAAAAAAUAAAGGCAAGGAAUACUGUUCCUUUGGUUUUACCCUAGAAUAAUUUGCUCUUUGGAUCGGUAUCUAGGUAGAGAUUAUGACUAAGCAUUGGUUAAGUUUGGGAAGCUGGAGAAAAUCGUCUGUGUUUAUCCAAAGAGGAAGUUUUAAGAGACCUAUGGGCUACUUUGACUUGCACCCAUGCUUAUUUCACAUAUUUAUAGACAUUGCAGCCUCUAUGUAAUGUCUGUGCUCUUACUUAGGGCUAUGUGGCUAUGGCAAUACCUCACUCACCAUCCUGCAGAACAAGAGCAACCGUGGAUUUUAUCACCCAAUCCACUAGCUGAAGCAGAAUAUGACCCACAUACAACUGGGGUCCCACAUGGCUGGAGCUCGGGGCUAUGCCACGUUCAAAGAAAUAGCAGUCUGAUAGAAAAUGAACAUCAAAAGCCAUUUAAAUCUUUACUCGGUCUCACAAGAAAACCCUAAAAAGAAGAGAUCAUUUUUAGUGCAAAGUAAAUUUCCUUUACAAAGCCUCCCAAGGUGACUCUCCACUUUCAAACCCUUUCACACUCCUAAGAGUGACUUCUACCAAAACACUAUCUUCUCUCUCUACUCUUCAAAGACCUUCUGCCCACAUCCAGACCCAGAGGGCCCUUCCACCUCUGUCCCCGUCUUCACUCCCUUCCUUGUUCUUUAUUCUAUGAAUGGAUUCACACUUGCCUGCUUCUUUGUCUUUUGCUUUUCAUUUCUUCUAUUAACAGGAUUCUGAGCAACAAAGCAAAGACUAAGAGCUGACCAAGCAAUCAAAAAGUAAGAACCCAAGAAACUUUCCUUUUUUGAUGGCUUUAACAGGGACAAAUAUGAUCAGCUAAUGGGAUUACAGGUUUACCUGUUUCCUACAAGCAUGCCUAUAAUUUUUGAUUCUUUGCUUUUGUGUGUGUGUGUGUGUGUGUGAAAAAGCCAACUUUCUUCCCACCCACCUGCUUGUUCCAAAGACCCUAUUCUCCAAGGGAAAUGUUACAUGCCUUUCAAGAAGGCCUUUGCUUUAUGUCCACUCAUCUUCUCCUGUAUUCCACCUAAUUCAUUCAACACAUAUUUUCGAAACACAGUGCUAUGCUGGACCUCAUAUGAAGCCUGGUUUACAAGACGUAUAAGUAAUAUGCCAAAAUGGUGACACAUACACAAAUGGCCUUGAGAACAGAUACUAUAUCCUUUAUUUUAUAAUUAUACUCAGGGAAUAUGGGGGAUGUUGUGUGGAUCACUAAUUUCAUGUUCAAUUGUAAUUCCCAUUGUUGGAUGUGCGGCUGCGUGGGUGAGAGUUUUUGGAUCACAGGGGCAGAUCCCUCAUGAAUGGCUUAGUGCCAUGCCCUUGGGGGCGAGUGAGUUCAUAUGAUAUCUGUUUGUAUAAAAGUGUGUGGGCCGGGCGCGGUGGCUCACGCUUGUAAUCCCAGCACUUUGGGAGGCCGAGGCGGGUGGAUCACGAGGUCAGGAGAUCGAGACCACGGUGAAACCCCGUCUCUACUAAAAAUACAAAAAAAAUUAGCCGGGCGUGGUGGCGGGCGCCUGUAGUCCCAGCUACUCGGAGAGGCUGAGGCAGGAGAAUGGCGUGAACCCGGGAGGCGGAGCUUGCAGUGAGCCGAGACUGUGCCACUGCACUCCAGCCUAGGUGACAGAGCGAGAUUCCGUCUCAAAAAAAAAAAAAAAAAAGUGUGUGGCACUUCCCACACACUCUCUCCCCUUCUCUGGCCAUUUGAGUGCCUGCCCCCUCUUUGCCUUCUGCCAUGAGUAAAAGCUCCCUGAGGCCUCCCCAGAAGCCAAGCAGAUGGUGGUGCCAUAGUUCUAUACAGCCUCCAGAAUGGUGAGCCAGUUGAACUUCUUUUCUUUGUAAGCUACCCAGUGUCAGAUAUUUCUUUAUAGCAAUGCAAGAACCGCCUAACACAAUAGGCAAGUAAUGUGUUAAGUACUCAGAUAGAAGGUGUAUUGAAGGACUUGGAGUCCAAGUUAGAACAUGAAGAACAUGGGAAGGAAAGGUGUCGCAAGCAGAAGAAACAGCAUUUGCAAGAACUCUUCUCUAGAAUAUAAGGGAGAAAAGCAAAGAGGGUCACAAUGAUUAGCUUCAAAUACUUAGGACACACAUGGAAGGCAGUUAAGGCUUGAUCUGAGUUACUUCAGGGCUGAGAAAUGGGAUAAACAGGCAGGAAUAAGAGAGGCCAAAUUUACUCAAUCUGAAAAAGAACUUUCUUAUCCAUGGAACAACCUGAAUGAUAGUAAUGAUAAUACUAGCAAGUACAUAUAUGCCACUUAUUAUAUGCCAAGUACUGAUAUGUGCACUUUAUGAAUAAAUAUAUAAAUAUUUACUUUAUAUAAUUUUAUAUAUGUCUAUGUGUGUGUAUAUAAAUAUACAAUUAAUACUCAUAACGGCACUCUGCUACUACUAUUCCCAAUUCAUGGGUACAGAAACCAAGGUAUCAGGUAACAUGUCCAAGGUGCAAUCAGUAGCUGGUGGCCCCUGGAUUUGAACCUUGGCAGUCUGGCUCUAGCAUUCGUGUUCGUAACCACCCUUCUAUACGGCCAAUGGACUAGCACAUGUCCUAUUACUGAAGGCAUCCAAGUAAAGGUUGGGUGGCCCUUUGAUAGGAAUGCCUUAAAAGGGCUUCCUGCAUUGAAUGGGAGGCUGAGCCAUAUCACUUCUGAGGCCUCUUUCUCCUCUGACCCUGUGAGGCUGGUAACUUAAUUCAAAUUGUCUUUAUACUUUCAAGGUUCAUAACUCACAACUCGUAACCACACUUCUUCCAGUCUCCUUUCUUCCUUCUUCCACUCAAACCAUGAAACUCUAUCCGUCCUAGCUGCACAAUUUUCCCUCCACAUACUCUUGAUGCUCUCUCCCAAUUCUUCGUUAUAUAGGUUGGACCAAGCCUUUCUGGAAAUGCCUUUCCAUCCUCCCCUCCUGCCUCUCAGUUUCCUUCAUAUGUUUUCUCUCCAUGUUCCCCUCUCUGUAACUACAUCAUCCAGGUCAAGAAAUUCAUCCAGCAAAGACAGCAUUUACCUCUGAGAGUGGGUAGAGGAGAUGCCCAGGGUGGGAGCAGGCAGGGAGAUGGCUGGUCGGGCACUGCCUUUCCCAUGGCAGUUUGGCUUUGUGGCCACUUUACUCUUCUGACUAAGAACUCCUCAGGUUUAAAGAGCAGAACGAGAGGACAGAGGAAAAGGAAAAAGUGAGCUUCUGUGUGCCAAGCCUGGCCACUCAGGCUGGAGGGCUUUUAGCUGAAGGGUCUCUCAGACUUGGCACGAAAAGAGGGAGCCAUUUCCCUUGUCUUUAUAGAACCAGGGAAACCUCAGACAUUUCUGUUUGUCUUGUGAACAGCUGGUGACUCCUAUGUGAAUCUAGUUAAGCAUCUUCCUGGCUGCAAACACUACAAGUUCUAUUUUUAAGAUUAAGAACAUUUUCCUAAAAUGUAUCUCAUAAAAGAUUGGCUUCAGACAUUUUAUCCCCAACACACCAUUUUGUGGUGCAGGCUAAAUCUCAUUAUAGAAAUUACUCCAACCUGAAGCUUGGCCAAGUCAAUAAUAUUGAUUGAUGAGCCCAGGAUGUCAACCAUCUCAAUACGAUGCUUCAGACCCGACCCGUUGUUCUUUAACCUUGUCAUAUUUGUGGUUAAUGCCCCUUCCCCUGGCAGCCCCUCCCUAAAAGAAUAAAUGUCAAAUACAAACCAAUUGCAUUUGCUUCAGUCAAAUGAAGCAAGAUGCAGCAGCGUUUCAGUCUGGAAUCUGUGCUGCCAUUGGAACUUGGAGGGGUUUGGUUGGUUGAUUCUGAGCUCUCCUUCAAGUGCACUUGUGGCGUGCUCUGUUCUGUCCCAGGCACUAAGACCUGCAGCGUGACAUUCCAAGCAAAAGAGACAUGCAGAUACCAGGAUGCUCAAUUUGGGAAAGUAAAAGCCAGAGUCAAAGAAAGACAAUCACUGUGGAGUAAAUUCCAGGGCUCCUGUGGAAUCUGCCUUUAUUCCCAUAAAUACAUACUUAAAUCAAGCAGUUCCUCUUAGAACUCUGAGUCUCCUCCUGUUUGUUGCCACCAUCAUUAAAGGGUAUAAUCAGGUGACAGCCUCUGUAAAUAGGAGCAGAAAUCAAAACCAGACAGAUUGCUACCUACCCAUAAUAUAUUUCACCUUAAAAAAUAAUAGUAAAAAAUACAAUAGUAAAGCAAGGGCUGUAGAGUGAAAUAUAUAUAUUUUUUCUGCCUAAAGAAAAAGAGAGAGGAAACAAGUUCAGCUAAUUCAGAGUGGAAGGUUGUGUAUUAGGGACCUCACAUUUAUCCAAAUAGAGGAUGGUGUGGUGAGGGGUUGCCAGGGGAGGAAAGCAUCACAGAAACAGUACGGAGAAAAGAAAGCGACAGGAUGACGCCACAGAGCCAGACUGUAAAAAGGGGGAAAUGGUAAAAGAGCCUGAAAUUCUUCUUCAAGAAUUCUUUCUUUUCAGCUGAGUGGAGCCAUGGUUUCCUGUAAUUAUCCAGUCAUGUGGCUGGCAUGGAUAUAAGUGGGGCUUCUCUUUAGAAAAAGACGAAAAAGAGAAGGGUGUUGGGCCGUAGCUGGGUCCUGUCUUGACAGUCGGAUAAUUUCAGCAGACCUCAGUCGGCAGCUCACCCAAGCCACAGCACAGACUGGUCUCAGAAUUCAAAGUGCAAGUAUCCUCAGUAAUUGCCAAAAGGCUUUUGGAUGGGGAAAACAGUUUUCCAGGACCCUCCCGGUCCAUAAAGCAGAAAGGUGAGCAUGUAAUGCUGAAAGGUUGGCUCUGCCUUGGUCCUUGGUUGACCUAACAACACAGCCUCAGCUUCCUUCUGUUUUCCAAGUUUCUCUGCUUGUCUGUGAAAAAGGAGCAACCCCUGUACACAGAAGAAAGAGUGCAAAAUGGAGGAAAUCCUUCUUCAGGCAUAAUCGAAGCUAAGUCAAAGAGGAGGAGAGAGACCAACCAAAAUGAGCCAAACAAUAGGAGACUUAAAUAAAACCCAGGCCCAGUGAGGCCACUUCAAGAAGGCAGCAAAAAUUACAGACAUCACUGGAAAGGAUGGUGGCCACUGAAAACUGCAGGCAACAGCAGUUGUGGUGAGGAACUGGCUUGGACUAGUGUAAUAAUCGUUCUGGAUAUUAUGUAAUGGAUGAUUUGGCAUCUUGAAAUCAUGGGCCAAACUAAUGACCAAAGUUGUUUGCAUUCAUAUUUCCCUGUGUUUUUUGCAAGCACUUGGAAAUGGUAUUACAAAUCCUCUGGCCACAAACUCCAACAUCUGUGUUUUGCAUCCUGCCCUGUAAAGGGCAUCCUCACCCAACAACUUCCUGCCACUAUAGUAAUAAAGGCCAUUGCCCACGCUUUCUCAUUCUUCCUUCUGACUCUUGACUAACUCUGGCUGUUCUCCUUGUGACCCCUGCAGGGCACUGUGUGCCCCCUCCUCUUGGAACUGUGCAUAAUAAACUCUUCUUUCAAAUGCAAUCGUCUCUGUGCCUGUCAUCUUGCCCCACCUGAUUCAAACAAGUCCCAGGCACAUUGUAAAACAGCUACAAAACAUCAUUUUGGAUUCUCAAUGGUGUACGCAUUUCUAAACUGUGUUUGUGUGAGCAGUGGUCUGUGAGACAGACUUUUUCCUCACGGCCUAUGUGAUUCUGAAGGUGGAAUUCACAAACCAGCUAAUGAUGAUAACAGCUAACCUGGUUUGACAACUUGCAAACAAUGAGUACUUCACAUGACUCAACUCAUUUCAUCCUCAUCUCAGCUCUAUGUGGUAGGUCCCAUCAUUAUUCCCAUUUUACGCAUGAGGAAAGGCUCAGAGAGGGUGAGUAAGAAGCAGGAGAUGACUCAGCCUGUGGGCAACAGAGCUUAGAGGUAGUCUGGCUCCAGAGGCAGGGUUUCUAACACUGUACUUACUCUUACCUCAAAUUCACUUGCUGCAUCUUUAGUUCUUUCUCACUGUGAUGGCCACAUAGUCAUGAGCAACGACAAACAUUUACUGAGGCCAAAUGAAUGCAUGUCAUUAUCGUAGGCACCAGGAGUACCUGACUAUGAGAAAAUGAGUCCUACUCUUGGCGGAUACGAUGAAAAUAUAACAGACCAGCAUAGCUUCCACCGAGAACCAGUUAUAGAGACAACAGAUGCUUGCAAAAAUAAGAGAGAAAAAAAUCAUAAGCUUUAGGGGAGCUGGAAAAUUUGAGGGUGGGGGUGAUUAACUUGUACUUUAAAGGAAAGAGAGGGCUAGAAAAUGGACAGCUGAGGGGAGGGCAUUUCUAGGAGAUGAAAAGGAGAGAAAAAAGGCAACAUAGGAAGACUGGCAUGUUUACAGUUUGGCUCUAUUGAUCCUUUUUUUAUUUGAGUGAAGGAUUAGGUUGACAUUAAAAAGGUUGAUGCCGAUGACAAAGGCUCUCCCAUUGUGAUGCUCAGGGAGCUAGUGCAUCGGCUGAGCUUUGUGGAAGACUUGUAAGUAGAGGGGAGGAGGUGAGCAAACUCAAGAGAUUAGGACAAGAGGGAGGGAGCAGCCCGGGAGGUGGAAUGCCAGAAAAGAGGAUGGUCGGGGCUCACUGAGAUUGGGAAGGGCUGAGCUGAGGCCCACUGCAGGCAACAGAGAAGAUAGGGAUGAGACUGGAACAACAUAUCCUUUGGGUUCAGAGGGUUCUUGGAGUCCAGUUCCAUCAUGGAUAAACAAGUACCUGUAAUUAGGAUUACUGGUGUUAUAGGAAACAGUAUUAAAAACAACCACUAAAGUUCUUGCCUUUCUUCCCUAUUUCAAGUCCUACUAGAGGCAUUUAAAAAGCUGGCAUAUAGUGGAUUUCUAACAACCUGGAUUACUAACACAACAUGCUAGUGUUAUAUUUGUCAGUAUAUCUUUUGCUUUAGGUUAUUUUCUUUUAAUUUUUGUUUCAUUAGAUAAGUAGAAAGUUAUUAAAGAAAACAGAAAUUUUAGAUAUUAAAAAGGAAUAUGCUAAAUUACAUGUAAUCCUACCAGCUGGUCAUAAUAAAAGUAUUUUUUUUGGUAUUAACUAACCUGUCAGACAUUAUAAAUGUUGUAUAUACACACACAUGUGUGUGUUUAUAUAAUACACUUGUUUUAUAAUGAAACAAUCAUAACCAGGCAUAUGGCUAUAUAACCUGCUUUAAUUCAUUCAUAGCAUACCGUUACUGUAUUUCCAUGCCAGUAAUUGUAUAUAGAGAGAGCUGGGCUCAGUAGCAUGAGCCUGUAGUCUCUGUAGUCUCAGUUUCUUGGGAGGCUGAGGCUGGAGGAUUGCUUAAGCUCAGGAGUUUGAGUCCAGCCUGGGCAACAUAGCAAGACCCCAUCUCUUAAAAAUAAUUAUACAUACAUCCAUACAUACAUACACACCCACACACACACACACAGAUGAAAAUGAUGUAUAUAUACAUUUUUGACCUAACAGUUACAUGAAUGUCCCAUGACUUGUUUGAAUAUUUUACUUUCUUUCUUUUUUUAAGUAUUUUACAUAAUGUAAUGUAGCACUAAAUAUUUUUGGACAUUAGUUCUGAGUACUUGUCUGACUAUACAGGUAAUUCUCAAAAAUAGAUGAGAAAUGUUACUUCUCAGACUGUCUCCUUUGUUGUUUUCAAGAUUUUCUCUUCAUCCCUACACAUCUGUUGACCAUAAUUUUCUCUUUGGUCAAUUUCCUUUUAUAUAGUCUCACUUGAAAAAUGACUACAUGAAUCUCCCGUGGCAAUUCCAAAAUUCCAAAUAAUUUAUGUAGAUACUCCGUCUUCAAGGAGGGGGAGCAUACAUUCCUACUCCUUAAAUGUGGGCUAUGCAUAGUGACUUCCUUCCAAGGAGUACGGCAUAAAAGGAGGAACAAAAAAUGAAAGUAACUUUACGGUGGAGCAACAUGACAACACCACCUCAUCCAGGUGAUCAAGGUCUACAUCAACAGCUAUAAAUCAUGUUGAUGUUACAUACUCCUGAUAAGAUGUGAUGAAAAUGACAGUUUACCUCUGUGGCCUUCCCCCCUGCCCCGCCCCCCAGUAACCCAAAACACCAGUCUUAUCAUGACAAAACACCAGACAGCAUUUUAAUAGUAGGGCAUCCUACAAAACAUCUAACCAAUACUCUUCUAAACUGUCCAAGUCAUUAGAAACAAGGAAAGUCUGAGAAACUAUCCCAGCCAAAAGGAGCAAAGGAGACAUGACUAACUGUAACCUGGUAGCCUGGAUAGAAUCCUGGAACAGAAAAGGGACAGCAGGUAAAAACUAAGGUAAUCAGAAUAAAGUACGGACUCUAGUGAACAACAAUUUAUCAAUAUUGGUUCAUUGAUGGUAACAUAUGUACCAUACUAAUGUAGGAUAUUAAUAUCAGGGAAACUUGGCAUUGGGUAUAUUAGAACCCUCUGUACUAUCUGUUUGACUUUUCUGUGAAUCUACAACUAUUCUAAAAAUAAAGUCUAUUAAAAAUGAGCUUAAGAGCAUCCCAAAGGUGGUUCUUUUCUUGGUGCCGUCUGAAUGCGCAAAUGUAGACAUGUGAACUGGACUUCAGGCUACUGAAGUCAGGCCUAGUCUGGGCCUGUCCUCACUGGUGAGGGUGGGUGUGGGGAUGGUCUACAGAGCAGAAGGCAGUCCCCGGCCAGACGGAGAGCUCAAUGUGGAGGAGCCACCCUUAUUAUUUCCUCCUGCUUGAAUAUGUGUACUCAUCCUAGAAGGUGCACAUUCUUUCACUCCAGCAAUACUAACAACAGUAAGAAGAAAAAUUCUCAAAAUUGAGUGAAACACCGCCACCACCAACCAUAUCAAGAAAGAACACACCUGCAACAGCUUUCUCUGCAUCGAUUUAAUUUGCUCUCCAACAAGUUGAGGCCUUCAUAGGAUGGACAGUCCACCUGCAUGACUAACUCUGCUGGAGAAAGCCUUGGACCUGGAACUUGCCCAGAGAGUUAGAAAAGCUGAGAGUGUGACAGCAGGGUGCCACCAAGAAUUCACUGUCUUCAAGAAGAGCAAACAGGAGCAAUAAUGCUAUUACCAUUGCUAACUGUGUAAAACACAUAUAAAACACACCAAUAACUUAGAAGUUUCUUGUUCACAGGUAACUCAGUUUUUUAAAAUAUGGGUUACUUGGACUGUUUCUAAUAAAAUAGCUAAUAUUUGCUAAGCUGACCACUUGCUACCUGCCAAGCUCUGUUUGAAGCACCUAAUAUGUAUUAAUUCAUUUAGUCAUCACAACUCUAUGAAGUGGUUACUAUUAUUGCUCCCAUUUUAUAGAUGAAGCUGAAAGAGAGGUUAAGUAGCUUUCAAAAGGUCUUACAGAAGGGAGAAUUCACAUCAUAAUAAUUUGACUCCAGAACCCAAACUCCCAAUCUCUAUACCAUAUAAUAUGUAGCCUUACACACAUAUAUGUGCACAUAUAUACACAUUCAUAUAGGUAUAUAUGCAUAUAUGUUUGUGUGAAUGCACGUAUCUUUACUAUAAAACAUUCUAAAACUGGUAAAUUCUUUAUGAUGUAAAGUUCUAUUUCAACUGAAACACAGAAUAGAAAAAUUAUUGACUGUUUAAAUGUUCAGAACAUUUAUAGAUGAUAUGUACAUAAAACAGAAAAGUAAUGAUUUGAUACUUAGAGAUGAAUUGGUAAAUAAAAUGCCAUUUUCAUAUCAGUUUUAGCAGAUAAAAGCCUUUGAAGAUUGCUUGAAUAUUACACAGAAGAAAAGAGCUCUCUCUUAGGACAACUGUUGCCAGAGAUAUAAUACUUAAGUACAAUUGGAAAAUUCUAAAUCCCCUUGGAGUUGGAGGGAAGUGGAUUUCUGUAAUGAGUGCUACUUCCAAUUCUCUUGAGAAGAAUAAUAAAGGCCAGAUUGAUUUUCCCUUGGAGAGACUGAUUAGGCAUUUCUUAAACCUCACUCACAGGUAGCUGACCUCUGCCUUGGAAUUUUGAAUCUGUAGGUCACAGAUGUGUCAUUUUCAUGCAUGCUUACAUAAGUAACCUGGGAAAUAGAUGAUGCUGGCAUUUUGAAGCCUGGUUUUUAUUAUUAUUUUUCAAAUAAUAUAUAAUUUCAAAUAACUUUAAGGUAGGGCAGAAUUGUUUAUUUCUGCACUAGAGGGAAAGCUCCCUCUCACAAUAGCCAAAGGAAGCUUGCGGGGAAGCAUUUUUCAGCAGCAAGGACAGGGAUGAGAACUGGAGCUCUGUGAUCCUGAGGGAAGGCUGAUUGAAACAGCAGAUAGGAGGAAGAUUAGAAGCAGCCAAAGAUAAACAGAACCCAUGAGAUUAUUCUGAGCAUCCUGUGCUGCUGUGGUACACAUGGUGGCUGAAAUUCUCCCCAGGGGUGUGUAUCACAAAGCUGCAGGUUUUCCCUCCAUGAUUAGGAGUACUGCUUCUGUUCACGUUACCAUGGUGAUACCAAGACUGAUUAAAGGGAGUUCUGUGAGGCAGUGUGUUCCAUGAACGUGUAUUCCUGUAUGUGUGCAUGCUAGGGGUAACACACACACACACACACACACAAACGCAUGCAUGCACAAGUCAUAUCUAAUUCUGAUUCUUUUGUUGGGUGGGAAUUUGAUGCCAGUAUUUACUUUAUUUGGAAUCUUAGUCCUCGUAAGUAGGUCAUCAGUUAGAGGUAGGAGAACAUCCUGUUAUACAGAAAUGUUGACAAUUGUAACUGUGGGGCUUCCUGAGGCAACGUUUUCCCUUCUCAAGACCAAAGGUGAAAUAUAGGUUGGAGAGAGGUGCCAGGGGAAAGGUAAAUAUGAGGACUGCCUUAAGAAUUUUUUUCUUCUUUUUUUUUGUAAAGUCCAUUGGAACCUUCUUGGGCAAAUCAGGAGCAGCCUUUAUUGUGUGUCUAGGUGUCAUGAAUUCCGAAAAGGUGAUAUUGUGAUGUGGUGUGGUGUUGUUUGUUCUGCCUCCUGGGAAGCAGCUUUCAAACUCAUUGUUCAAGUGUCCUUGGAAUGAAAAAGACAAACCAUCCCGUCAAGGGAACAAUAGUUUCUACUUAGGGGGAAAGUACAUCUUGCCAAUUUCAGUUUGCAUUGUCCCAAACAUGUUUGUAAAACUCUACCCUGAAUUAUCUGUGAUGAAUACAGUAUAAAGUUAACCCCCCACAUGGAAUGACUAACAAAAGCAGAUGCGAAACAGCUAACAAAGAAAGCAAACACAAAGAUAAAACAGCAUGCGUCAAAUCCUAUGUCAAUCAUAAGAAAAUGUUUUUCACAUCUAAUCAUCGAAGAUUAAAGGCUGGAUAUUUAAGGAAUGUGAAAGAGGAUGUCCUUCAGCAAACAAUUUAAAUAAGGCAAGAAAUGAACGUGAUAUUUUCUCCGCCUCCUCUCUUCUGACUGAGAAGAUGAUUCCUGGAGAUAAUCCACUUGGUUAUCCGUGGAUGUGAACAUAAUUUGGAGGCAGCAGUCACUCCAGAUGGCCCGCUGAAGCUGGGAGUCCUGAGUUAAUUUCAAGCCAAAUUUCUCACUCCCUGGAGGAGCAGAGUGGAGGGUGUGUGUGCAUGGAGAAGUCCAAGAUUUCAUAUCUGGAAAAGAAGACUGGGAGAGGCCAGCAUGAAUGGCCACUGUCCUCGCCAAAUCUGGAUGGUAUGUCUUAGGUGAUACUUGCACCAGUGAAGCUGAAGAUCACAAUUACUGCCUCAAAUACUCACUGCCCUGGAAACCGGCCACCUCUGCUCCAAAGCAAGGGCUUGCUAUGUGCUGACCUUGUGUCCCAGGCUCCACCCCUGCUGCUUGUUCCAACGUCUUGCUCUCUGUCUUCCUCCAAUCCGACUGCAGUGGGGUUGGCAAGUGUAGGUGUGGGGGUGGGAGUGGAGAUGUGGGUGGGGGUCUUUUCUCUACCACAUUACCGAAGCAUGGCUACAGGCUCUCUCAACUUAUGCAUAAGCCCAGACAUACUCCAGGUCCUCCCACUGAGCCACUUCCUUAUUUCUGUGUGGCACAGGUCCACCCGGCUGUACAAUUCCAAGGGGCACCAUUCACAUCAUAUUCUCUGAGAAUGGUGCCCUCACACACCAUACACAACAACAGCCCUGACACAGCCAGGAAACUGAUUCCUCCCGUGGAACCUCCUAAUGCCUCUUGGCUUGACUCACCUCCAGCCUGACUGUGAGGAAAGUUCUGUCAUCCCCCAAGAGUGACUUAUAGUCCAAGUUCGCUGGUAAUGGGGCCAUCCAUUCCCUUCAGGGAAAGCUCCACCCCAGGAAGACAAUUCCCAAAAGCUCUGACAUUCUAAGAGGUCCCAAACUAAAUGCUAUUCAAGCUUGCCCAAUCUUAUUAUCCUGGUUACAAGUAUAACAAUUAAAAGACAUUUGUAGACAUUACAGUGUUGGGAACAAAUAUAGCUUUUUAAAAAAGGAAAGUAAACUUACUCAUGUGCUUGCCAAGUCUCAAUCAAAAGGUGCCAUAUGGAAAUGGUAUAAAUAUGAUUGGCCUCCAGCACUGGCCAACUUUGAAUCUCCCUGGAGCUCACAGAUGGGAUGCCACAUGGAUUAGAUCCAAAGGCUUGGUAAUUUGGUCCUCGUCCUUUCCUAGAUAGUUCUCGCUGGAAGAGAGUGAGAGGAAACAAUAUGGUGUUCCACUGGAAAAUAAAUGGAGGCCUGUCUGUCUGCAGUGCAACCAGUGUUUCAAAAAAGACCUCCCCUUCUCCCUCCACACUUCUAAACUAGCCCCAGCAGAGCUGGCUCCCAGGUGUAGAAGUGGGUGAUGAAUGUCACCUGAAAAUUAAGAAGCUGAAUAGGAGCAAGGGCAGGAAGGAGUAGCAACCAGAGUCAACCACACCGGCCCAUUUUCUUUCUUUCCUUUGUUCGGCCUACUAGGGCUUCAUUUGUACCCACUCACCUCUUAGUAAAGGAGCACUUCUCUUUGCCUCUCAGGUGUCAUACCUUUUCCUAUCUGGGGCCUAAAGAGAGCAACAAACUGUUCACAUGCACACAAUUGUCAAGGGGCGGAGCUAAGAUCUACAAUGUGAACAGUCAGAAUCUGUGGCAUGGUUCCCUUGAAAGUGAUCCCGGGCUCCCAGAAGACCACAGCUCCUGAAAGAGGCAUCCCAUUGAAUACCAGCAAAAUACUCUCCCUCCUGGUUGGUUCCAGGUUGUUCUUCCCAUUGCCCAUCUUCAAUAGUUUCACCACCCUGCCUCUUUUCACCACUCUUUCCAGCUUUUUUUCCCACAUCUUCCCAUCUGAUGCCAAAUGUCCUGGGCAAAUGGAACAUGGAACACUUCAGGAUCUCAACUUCCCUUGCUCAGAUUGAAGCCACAGUUUCUCUGACCUCAGGAUUCAGUUUUUUAUUUUUUUCUACCCCAAAAUUAUACUGCAUAUUCCUGCCAGGGUAAGCUUUCUGCAAAACACAUUGACUCCAUCUGUGCUCCUGCAUGAGAAGCUUUGAGGCUCCUCACUGCCCAGAAAAUAAAGCUGGAGCUCCUUUGUAUGACACCCAAGACCUUUUGCUAUCUAUUCAUCUAUUUCCUCAACCUUGUCUCCUAGAACCUGGGAUCCAAGCCACACUCAAGUCACAGUCUUUCCUGAACACAUCACAGCAUUUUAUGCCUAUGAGCUGCCUUUUCACUCCAUCUCCCCCUGCUGAACUCUUACACAUCCUUCAAAAGAAACUCAAAUAGUUCCUUCAAAAAAUCAUUAUGACUAUUUCUCUUCUUAGAUUGACUCAUCAAGACUAGAGCUAUAUCCUUUUAAAUAUGUCUGCUGCCCAAUGCAGUCGCUGGCACACAGUAGGCUCUUCAUGAGAUUUUAUUAAGAAUGUUUUAUUGAGCACCUACUAUGGGUCAGGCUCCCUCCUAGGCCCCAAAGGUAUAGAAAUAUAAUAACCAACACUCUUAGGAUGCUCCUUGGGGCAAAAUGAGGAAUGUCCUCUCUUAUAUCACAGAAUCCUCACUUCUUUAUAAUUGACUCACAGCACCUAAGAUAUGUAUUAGUGGUGGCUGUUACAUGCAUGUUUUUCCAGUCACAUAUGCCUCAUUCUAGCCACAAGCUUGUUUCUAAGAAAUAGGUAAGUGAGGCUGGGUUCAGUGGUUCAAGCCUGUAAUCCCAGCACUUUGGGAGGCUGAGUUGGGCGGAUUGCUUAAGCCCAGGAGUGUGAGACCAGACUAGACAAUAAUGGCAAAACCCCAUCUCUACAAAAAGUACAAAAAAGCCAGGUGUGGUGGCACACAUCUAUAGUCCCAUCUACUCUGGAGGCUGAGGUGGGAGAAUCACUUAAGCCAGGAGGCAGAAGUGGCAGUGGGCCAGUAGCAGAUAGCACCACUGCACUCCAGCUAGGGUGACAGAGCAAGACCCUGUCUCAAAAAGCAAACAAACAACAACAACAAUAAACCAAAAAGAAAACAAAACAAAACAAAACACAAAAACCAGAAACAGUAAAUAAGUGAAAUUUUUAUAAAACUUUCACUAACAAGCCCUUAAACCGAAAAUAUUGUUGGUGGACUUAUUACAAUACAUUAAAUCUAUCUGCUUUGGUAGAUACAUAUAAUUCCUGAAAAAAACAGAUCCUUACAAAUGUGUAGCCAGUGUAUCAUGUGUGUGCACACAUGCAUGCAUGCAGCCAUGUUAUUAACAUUCUUUGGUGUACAAUGGGGCAGGCCUUGGGUCCAAUUAUGUUCCCAGGAUCCAGGGUGCAGCUGAAUGCAGAACCUCUACUACACAGGUGUCAUCCUUGGCUACUUAAUUGUUAAACUACUUUCCUUUGUGACGGCAGAUGAUGGAUGCAAGAGAGAGAAGGUCUAUUUACAACCAACUUUUCUUUCUCAUGAUACUGCCUCAGAGAAGAGAGUAAGAGGAGCAAAAUCAAAUAUUCAAUAGAAAUAGUAAAAUGGAAUUGAUCUGCCUACACAAAAUAUAGAUGAUUCCCUUAAUUUCACUCCAUUGAACAUGAUAUAUACAAAAAUUAACAAACACCUACUGCUUAGAAGUCUGCUCCUUAGGGCAAUCAUUUGAGAAGGUUAUAGAGUAUUCUAGGCCCAAACUAGAAAUGGGCUUUUCCCCUGCUGCGGUCAUAAUCGUUGACAAAGACCCAUCUGCAGAAGGCAGGGAGAUAUGUCCUAUCCAGAUUUCAAACUUGUAGACCUAUCAGUUUUGGAAACUGGAGGAGCCUGUGACCUCCCUCUUCCUUCUUUUCCCUUUUCCCUGUAGCUGACUCACACUCUCAGCUGAAAUCUGAGUUCAGAAAGUUCUGCAUGCUUGCCUUGCUGAAGGUAACACAGAGCCUCCUUUUCCCAAGCACUAUCAACAUUUUGGAAGUGUUUUCACUCAUUUUUAUACCUGUUAUUUACCUGGAUGGCCUAGCAGAUAGAAAGAAGAAGCCUUGCUGUCCCUCGUGGGUCACAGGCACAUGUUCAAGGCAGGGGAGGAGGCAGCAAGAAGAGGAAGAGGCCCCAGGAACAGAGCAAAAGAAGACCUGGAGAUCCCCCACAUCCCUGCUCCUUGGGAUCCUAUUUCUUUCCAGGCUUCUACAGCUUGUUCUUUGCAGGGAACUUUACUCCCCACUCUAACUAAGGAUUUUAUUUGCAGCUGUCAGCAUGCAAGGCUGAAAUCUUGUUUGUGCCCUGGGUUGGUGUGCCCUGGGUUAUUAUGCUCAGCUGUCAGCCUUAGCCUUUUAAAAAACAAUUCACUUACAGGAUUGUUUGGAUGGCAUUAAUUUGCAGAACGAAUUGCUGGGAAGAGGAGGAGGUGGAGGAGGACUGCCCCGAUGAUGUCAGGAAGACUUUCUGGAGAGCACAUGUUUCUGGGUGACAUAUAUCUCCUGGGUGAGGUUGGGUGUACUCAAAAUACUGGCUGAGCAUUUGAGAGGCCACAGAGGUGCAAAGGCAGAACUGGAGACUGGAGAAAACCUCCCUCCAUCCCAGCUCCUUGAGGGUGGUCAGCUUGUAUUUACAGCUGUUCGGUGACCCUAGAGGGGGCUGAGGGAGGAAAGCAUUGGCAGGAGAGGGGUCAUUAGCAGCUACGCAUUUGUCCUGCUGCCCUUCUGAGUGUUGCUCAAUGCUUAGAUACUGCUCCGUGUGGUCUCACGCAGUGCUUUGAGCAACACAUCGAGGAGGAAGGAAACUUUUUUUCUUGAGUCCUUUGCCCAGUUCAGUGCUGACUUCAGUUAGGACUGUUGGGAGCAUUUCUCUGGAGACACGGUGACCCUUUUGAAAAUACUCAAAAGUUCUGAGCUCCAGUCUGAGGACAUUUAACACAGGGCAGGAUACCAGUUCAUCUCCAAACCACCUAUGGCAGAAAACAGCAGGGAGUGAACCUAGGAAGAGAUCAAGACACGCUCUCACAAGGAAGCAGCACAAAUGCGCAUUUCUUAAGAAUGAGGUUGGGCAAGUCAGGAGGGUAGGAACCCUCUGCUCAGUCAAACAAGAACUAGGGAGAUGGGAAUGUCCAAGGGGAGGCAGUAGAAGGGUAAAGCAAGGCAGGCAGGUGAGUCAUCAAGGGCUCUGGGGAAGUGGGAUUUGUUGAGGUGAAGCAUUGCUGCACUAUGGACCUUCUGCCAUGCUUUAACUUUUAUACCAGGUAACUAGAUAUCUGGGACAUUUCCUUUUGCAGGCCAAACUCUGGCUUUUAAAAAAGAUAUGUAAGAAAAGCAAAGCAAGGUUCCGUGAAGAUAGGAGAUUUGACUGACUUAUUGUCUUAUCCUCAGAUUUAGAAUAAUGCACGCAGUGGGUGCUCCAUAAAUAUCUGAGGAAUGAGCAGGCUGCCCAGUGAAUUCAGUGCAGCGAUUUUCUUCUACAGCCUCUGUUUUUCUAUGAAAGGGGAAAGUGUCCUCCAUCUUUCAAAGGGAACACUUGGGGUUACUAAGGGCUCUAUGCAAUACAUACUUUUUGUAUGGGUCAUUUUAAUUGUUUAGUUAUUUUAUUCCUUUCGUUCAGCAAAUAUUUAUUGUGCAGUUAGUACUGUAUAGGUAAUAAGCUUAGUAUAUGUGAAUACAAUGGUAAGCAAAAUAGACUGUGUGCACCGUGCAGUCUCAUAGGCUGUAGUUCUCUGAGACCAUUAUUAGAAUUCCAGGUUUUAAUUAACUGAUCAGUUUAACCAAGCCAAAGCAACCUACCAAACCAACAAACAAAAAAACUACAUCCAAAGCACUGGCCCCUUUGAACUUCAGAACUUCUCAUGAACAUCAGACGAUACACAUGACUCAGUCCUCUAGGUUAGAAAGAAGCUUGAGAGGACAUUUUAGACUGGCCCUUAUGUAUUAGUCACAAUAGGCUGGGUUAUGCUGCAGUAAAAAAUUAACGCUGAAAUCUCUUCAAUUUAAGACAACAAAGGUAUAUUCCUUGUUUAAGCAAAGCUCCUUAUGGAUGGCUGCUUCCACACAGUGACUCAGAGAUCUAGUCUGCUUCUAUCUAAUGAUUCAGCAUCUAACUAUGUGGCAUCCAUGUUACCAUGACUUGAGAUCAAAGACUGUAGGCAAAUGCCUAGAGACUGUCCACUGUCUUAGUCUGGAAGUGACACAUCCACUUCCCCUCACAGUUCUUUGGCUAGGACUAGUCACAUGACCACAUGCAACUGGGAGGGGGCUGGGAGGUGGGUGGGAACACAUGGAUAUUUGAUGAGCAGUAAAUAUCUCAGCCACACUCAUUCUUUACACAAAACUCCCCCUGAAUUAUCAUUCUGAAGAACUGAGAAACAACAUUGAAACAAUUGAUAGAUGAGAUGUAGAGAAUAGAUUUUUCAAAUAAAUGAGUCAAUUUCCUUUCUAGGCUAUUUAUCUGAGACUAAUUUGGAAAUUAAAGGAAUAUAGUUAGUUAUUCCUCUUUCUAGGUCAGAGGAAUUCACUAUUGACUUUCUUGUACAUCCAUCAUUCUUUGAUUUCUUUCUUAGGUCAGGAAAACUUCAUCUUAUGCUGCAUAUUUUCAGGUGGUAAGGUUUAUUUUUUCAUCCUGGUAAAAAGAGAUAACACUCUAGAUUGUAAAUUUGUUUUAUUUUCUCUUAAAACUCUAUGGUAGUAGCAUUACCUGCCUUCCGAGUGUUUCCUUUGCAACCCUUUGUCUACUGGACUCCUAUUUAUAAUAAAUAUUUAGCGGAUUGUGUCUGAAAUGUUAGAAUAACAUUUGCUUUUUCUAGAGUCACUUUUUGUUACUGGAUAGAAAGCAUCAACUUGUUUCUUUGUGUUUCUUCUGCCAUUGGGGCUUUUAUUAAAUUAAAUGUUGUAGCAUGUCAUUUAUUUCUAAUUCAGCGGCAGAUUUUUGCCUAAGUGUGCCCUGAUUGUGUCCUUGCUUGCUCAGGCACCUUCUCCAAUAAACUAUAGUCUUGCAAUUAGCACUAGACCCAUGAAAGAAAUAUGUUGAAAUAUGAUAAUUUAUUCCAUUUGCUAAUAUAAGUUUAUUCCUUGGUAGUAUUUUCCAAAGCCACAUGGAUUUGAUUAUUCUUAAAUCUUCACUUCCUAGUGAUGGUUCUUUCAUUAUAUUAUAAAUUAUCUGAUUAUAAUUCAGUGGCAUAAACUCUUGACUUCGUGUUUUUUCUUUUUUUUAACUUGCAGUUGAUAGUACUUGAAAUGUUGGUAGCUUCAUUAUGGAAUCCAAAGACACUAUUACUCUUUGAAAUUGGAAAACGCUAUUGCCUAACUGGAGUUUAUUAGAAAAGAAACCAAUUUGGGGGAAAUUCAGUAAUGCAAACUUGAUCUCAGACGUAACCACUAAUAGGAACUUUGAGUGAAAUUUUGCCUUGCAGCGACUUAUCCAGAGAGAAAAAGACUUCUCCUUGGAAGGAAGGCUGAAACUUUUUUGUUUGUUUGUUUUGUUUUUUAGUGUUUCAUACUCAAAGGUUUGUAAGGUUAAAGCCAUACUCCCUCUUCUUCCUUUUAAUUUACUGAACCAGAAUUGUUAGGAAUUUUUCUUUUCACACUCUUUUAAAAUUUUUUGAGCAUCUACUAUGUGUUAGGUCCCAGAAGAAAAGACAGCUGGGCUCUCUACCCCCAUGGAGUACUGGUUCUAAUGAGGGGGAAAAGGAAACUCGGAAUUACAAGAUGUUGCCAGCAGAUAUGCAGAAUCCCAGGGGAGCCCAAGGCAGAGAUCCUAUUUCUAACUUGCUGAGACCAGACUUUUCAUCCUAGAAGAAGCGUAUCUACGUUGAGACCUGAAGAAUGAGAAGUAGUUAACCAGAGACUUGGAAGAAAACAAGAAAUGCCAAGGCAGAAUUUCUUGAGCUGUGAUUCUCAAACCACCUAGAUCAUAAAGAUAUAAAGGGCACUGUUAUAAAAGCAGAUUCUGGGGCUCUACCUCAGAUCCACUGAACCAGAACGUCUUUCAGGAGGAUGAGGAGUUUUCAAUUAAGAACUGAGGCUCAAAGAGGAUAUGGACAUUUCCCAAGAUCAACAAGUAGCAAGUGGCUGAGAUGACAUUUAAAAUGUUAAAGGAACAUGGGGCCAAAAUAAAAGGUGCACAACUGGCAUUUAGUGCAUAUGGGAUCCUUCAUAUGUUUUAAUUGGGAUUGCAAGGAACUCUUGAGCCCAAAGAGGUUACAUAGGUAUGUAUUGUCACAAUACAUAGGCACAGUGGGGAGGGGUAUGUGAAGGACCAAAAUCAAAUGGUAACCCUAGAGGGGUACCUCCAGGGCAGGAACUAGGAUCUGUUUGGAGGUGAGGAAGUCCUGAGGACCAGCUCCUCUGGGUCCAUUCUGAUCUCUUGUCUUUGCUCUUAGAUCUGCUCUCAGCCUAGACUUUUGCUUAUUUGUUGCAUCUGCUUCCUCAUCCUUCCUCUUACCUUGUUGCUCCUGUGCUGGACUCCACCUCCUGGUUCCUCCCCAUACAUUCUCUUAGCUUCCACUCCCACUGCCAGCUGCCUCAUUCUCUCAGAAUUUCUUGGUUUAUAAUCUUAUUUAAUCUUAUUAGAGACAAAGUCUCUUACUGUGUCACCCAAACUGGAGUGCAGUGGCACAGUCAUAAGUCAUUGCGGCCUCAAGUUAUCUUCCUGCUUCAGCCUCCUCAGUACCUGGGACUACAGGUUUGCACCAUUAUGCCAGCUACUGGUUUUUGUUUUUGUUCUUUUUCCAUAGAGACGGAGGCGAUGGGGGCGGGGGCGGGUCUUGCUAUGUUGCUCAGGCUGGUCUUGAACUCCUGGCCUCAAGUGAUCCUCCCACCUCAGCCUCCCAAAGUGCUGGGAUUAUAGACAUGAACCACUGUGCCCAGCCUGUAUUCUUGAGAGAGCGAAUCUGAUAAGUCCAGCUUAUCAUGCUUAUAAGAUUGCUGGUAGGGUGCUAUACCUGACUACAAUCAUUUUGGCUGAAGAGGGGAAACAGGGAGGCUGUAUAUUAAAAACCAUGGUUGCCUGCAGGCCAUGCUCUAUGGCAUGUCUGUAAGCAGAACAGGCACAAUUGCCAUUUCCAGUUCAAGUUUUUAUUCAAAAGCUCUUAGAAUGUCUUACAAUGAAACAACUCUUGUUGUCUGCCACUCCCAAGUCCUUGUGAUUAGCUAGGGUGGGUAAGACUACUUACUAUUCCGAAUGUCUUGCCUAGUUGAAAGUAAAGUUUGUAAACUCCUUUAAGGUAGGGAUUUUUGUUUGUUUUGCACAUUAUUGUAUUCCAAGCACCUAGAACGGUUCCUGGCUAGAGAAAGCCUUUUGAUAAAUAUUUGUUGAAUGAAUGAAUAGAUGAUAUUAUAGCAUCCAGCAAGUCCCUAAUGUUGUGGAUCAGACACGGGGAAAUUGAAUUUACAUGCUGCCUUGGUCCUGGCUCCCAGUCAGUGUUAAUGCUGCCCUAACCAGAACACAGACAUGGAUGUAAUUCUCCAGACAGACCACUUAUUAUUUGCUUAAAAGCAAACACAAAUAUUUUUGGGUCAUCUGCUGCUUUCAAUUCUUGCUAAUAACUGAAAAUUAACUGUGUGGCCUGGGUAGGAAUCAGUUUCAAGAAUUCUCAAGGAACAAAGACACUAAGAAGGCAAUGCAUUGAAACCAGUGGUUCUCAACAGGGAGACAUUGACAAUGUGUGGAGACAUUUUUAAUUGUGGUUAAAUAAACAUAAUAUAAAAUUUACCAUCUUAACCACUUUUAAGUGUACAGUUCAGUAGUAUUAAGUUCAUCUGCAUUGUUCUGCAACCCGUCUCCAGAACUCUUUUCAUCUUGCCAUAAUGAAACUCUAUACCCAUUAAAUAGUAACUCCCCAUUCCCUCCUCCCUUCAGUCCCUGACAACCAACCACUCUUCUACAUUCUGUCUCUAUGAAUUUGACUCUAGGUGCCUCAGAUAAAUGGAAUCAUACACUUGUCUUUUUGUGACUGGCUUAUCUCACUUAGCAAAAUGUCCUCAAGGUUCAUCCAUGUUGUAGCAUGUGUCAGAAUUUCCUUCCGUUUUAAGGCUGAAUAAUAUUCCAUUGUAUGUAUACACCACACCUUGUUUACACAUUCAUCCAUCAGUGGACAUUUGGGUUGCUCCCACUUUUUGGAUAUUGUGAAUGCUGCUUUUAUGAAUAUGGGUGUACAAGUAUCUCUUUGGAGACCCUGCUGUCAAUUCUUUUGGGUAUAGCCCAGAAGUAGCAUAUGGUAGUAAUUCUAUUUUUAAUUUUUUUUGAGGAACUGCCAUACUGUUUUCCACAGCACUACAUCAUUUUACAUUCCCACCAACAGUGUACAAGUGUUCCAAUUGCUCCACAUCCUCACCCACAUUUGUUGUUAUUUUUAAUAACUGCCAUCCUAAUGGUUGUGAUGGGAGACAUUUUUAGUUGUCACAGUUUCUGGGGGCUGCUACUGGCAUCUAGUGAGUAGAAGUCAGCGAUGUUGCUAAACAUCCUACAAUGCACAGGACAGCCCUCUGCAACCGAGAAUUAACUAGCACAAGACGUCAAUAUUGCUGAGGCUUAGAAACCCUGAUUUAAACAAUCAGGUUAAUAUUUCAUAGUAAAACUCAUCCCUCCAUACCUGUGUCCUUUCUUUUCUUUGUUGAAAUGCUCAAAGGCAGAGACCACCCCUAAAAUCUGGAAAGUGAGGGAGGGCUGAGAAGAAUGGCAACAUUUCUUUUAUUCAAAUUUUAUUGGAAGUUUACAAAUGUAUUACAGACAUCAGUAAAACAUCAUAUCCAUUUUACAGGGCACGGAUCUCAAGCAAAGUGUUCAGAACAGUCUCUGGCAGAGCCCACACCAAAGGCCUGUUGCAGACCUUCUUAACAAAUAGCUUGACACUCAACACAGAACACAGACUCUGGCCUGCCUCACCUUCCCAGGCCCUUUGAGGUUUUGUUUAUGCACUUGAAAUGAAAGCAGGAGAUGGACAAAGCAAUCCUGUGGAGGAAAGAAUGAGUUUAGGAGAGGAAAACCUGCCGAAGUCCUAAUUUGCUAAAAAAAAAUUAAUUAAAAAAUGGAGGACUCAUAGUCCUUACAAUGUUAAGUCAGGGUCUAUGACAGAAUCAUGACACUUUAUGGAAAGAUAUGAAAAUCAACUAGGUAGGUUUAAGAACAGACCUUACUGGUAAGUAACUCUCUCUGAAAAAUUUAGAAAAGCUUGGUCAGUGACCUGUUGAAUAUCAAUGGCCAAAUGCCAAGCAGAGUGAAGGGAUAUCUCAGAGAACUCUCAGAAUAGAACAAGCAGAUUUUUCUCUAUCCUAUGGAUUCAUCGUAUUCAAAACACAGGAAUGUUUUCCUAACACUAUGUGACUUUCCCCUCCUUUAUAUUUCCUUGAGGAAAGCUAGUUUUGUCAGCAGGAAGUAAGCUUAUAAAAUAGUAUGGCUCCCAAUAGUGAGUCAUAUUUUAUGGGAGUCUUGUGUUGACUAGGCUACUAUUAUGAGAAAAUGGAAAAAGAAUCCAAUUUUUUCUUGAUCUUUACUUUGAGGACUACUUCCAAAUGGUCAUAAGAAUAAGCUCUGGUAUCUGCUGAGGCACCAGAGGGACAAACCACUGGAGACAAGGCAAAGGCCAUUUCUACUUCUCUUGUGCUUAAAGAAAUGUACCUCAAAAGGUGGCGAUCUGAAACUGCCUUCAACAAUUGGCAGUGGAGGCUUGGCUACUGAGUCUUGCAUAUGCAAAUGCUGUCUGCAGAGCCCAUUUUAAAGCCCUGAAGGUGCAAAACAGUUGCUAAUAGCAACUGUCCUGGCAUGAAGUAUUCAGAUAACUGGUUCAGUUUUCCACUUUCCUUUGUCAUGGACGGAUCUUCCUUCUUAGGCUUAAGCAUCUGUUUUCUGCUAGAAAUACACAAAGAACACUUCUCCUUGGAAUUUAAAUAUUUAUUUAUUUUUUGUUAGAAGGUGGGAUUACAUGAAGAAUAAGAUGAAGUCUUACCUCACCUCUGCAAAAUGAAGACUGCCUAUAGUAAUUGGCAGAGAACAUGAAAAUGGCCAAGGAGGUAAAGAGAUUUUUUUGUCCUUUAGCCUAAGAAGUCAGCUUCCUCGAGCCUCCACAACCUGGGAUGGGGGAGGGGCAGGUGAAUUGGAGUCUCCGAAUUACUUAUACAUAUUGGUUCCUAAAUGUUCGUAAUUAUGCUUCCUAAACUGUUUUUGUUCUACGGCAAGAGAACCAAGAGUGGAAAGACAGAUAUGAAUCAGUUCACAAAUAAGAUUGGUUAUCAGACCAAUAAGAUCAGUUCUGAUCAACUGGUCCUGGCUGGUUGGAGUGUUGCAAAGAUCUGUGAGGCUGCAUCCACAUUCUCAGCAAGAGUAUACAGUGAUGCAUUGGUUGUAUCUGCUCAGCUUGCAGGGAGCGCAGAGCACAUGCUACAUAUAUGUCAUCACAGGCCUCACCUGAAUUGAACAAUAGCUAGUAGUACCCAAGAAGCAGAAAGCUGCUGCAGAAGGAAGAAAACAUAAUCUUGUUAUAGUGCAGGAACAUCCUACAGGAAAUGAGGAUUAGAAAGCACUACUUCCAGAUCCUGUAUUAGAAACACAAAAUUGCUCAUUUGCUCGACUGGUUGGGGGUAGAAAGGAAGGAAUAAAAAAUAAAAGGUGAAAGUGGAAAGAAGGUGUCAAACAACCCACACCAGGACUUCUUCCUUGGAUGUAUGAAAAACCAGGAAGCAUGGUUCUGAUCUCCCUUACCUCAUUCACCUUCACACUUGGUAGAGAUCCCACAACUAUAUGACAGAAGGAAAGCGCCCUGAAUACCAUCCUCAAUGCCACCUGGCUGCCAAGAAGCCUUUUCACAGUACCAAGGGUGGUAUGGAUUGGCAGAGCCACUCAGGAAACUGUCAAUGACUUAUACUUCCUGGGUCUGGGAACAAGCCAGCUAUGUUGCUACUGAAUUGAGCAGCAAUAGGAAAUGAACUCAACUCCGAAGUUGCAGUUCUAACCAAAAGACAAGAAGAUCAAUAUUAGGAGAGGUGGGAAAAAUAACAACCAGGGCAUUGGAGAAGAGAGAACGCUGGAAAAAGAUUACUAUUCUGGAAAUCAGUCUCUUGAAGAUGGAAUUAUGAUCUAAGAGGAAGUGAGUACAGGCCCUACUCACAGGAGGAGCUUGUCCAAUAAGAGUUAAUGGUUGUGAUGGAGGAAUUAGGUGAGGACCUUAAGUUCUUGCCUCAGGAAAUAAUGCAUUGGGAGUGGGAUUCUGGGAUGUGAUGUGUGAGCUAUCACUAGCAGGCAGAAUUCCAAAUACAGUGAUGUCCUUCUCCUCAAUAGGGCAUUCGCUUGGGGGUUCUGCCAUCAUUGUAAGGAAUUGGCCUUCCUCAUUCAGCAUUCUCUGUAAGGUUGCAUUUGGGGUCAGAAGAAAUCUGCAAUGGUAGAAUUGAGGGAGGUAAUCUUGCUAGUAGACAGUUUUACCCUGAAGCUUGUAUGUCAUUUCAUCUCAAGCUCUGAGCAGUUCAGUGCCUGGAUGCUCUCUGGGCAUCUAGACUUAUGCCUCCAGACCCCUCCGGGCACUGGCCAUGUGUCAGUUUUUAGGCCACCUUCUUUCUGAUGAUGGUGGUUGAAGCUUUCUUUGAGAAAGGUAAGAGGUAUUCUGAGAAAAACAGAGUUAGGAAGCAACUUUUACUGGGAGAAUUUCUUUCACUGGAUUUGGGGCCACAGAGGACAGACAUAUUUUCAACCGUUUGCUAAGAUAAGUGAUCUACUUUUCCCCCUCUCUUUUUCCAAAAUUGCCUUUUUAGUUUCAUCAAUCAAGGAACUUAAAACUCCAAAUUGGACUCGCACAAUUUCUACCAGAAACCUGCCACUUUAGUAGCACGGUAUUGCAAAUUAUUUCUUAAUCAGUUUGCCAAGCAGUUUACAAACUUACUAUACAAACGUAAUAGAGUUAAUUCUCCGGAGGCUCGGAUAAUUAAUGAAGCAUUUAGAUAUGAAGAUAGCAUGCGGAAAACAGCCACAACCAACAUGUGCAUUGCUUUUUUAAAAAAAUCAGUGACAAUGACAAAUGUCAUAUUAAUACCUGAAAAGCAAAUUAUUUUAAUACAUCCCGAAUGGAGUGCCAUUACCAUGUCCUUUACAGCCUUCCUUUCCUCAGACCCAUCUGGGACGGGGUCUGAAAUGCCACUUUUGACAUUCUCUCCAUAAAAAAUACUAGAAAAUGUUAACUACUAUACUGAAAAGAGAUCACGCUCACCUCACCAUGGCAGAUGGCCACUGAGAUACACCGGGCACUACAUCGACAGUACAUCUCACUACAGGUGGGUCAUCCGAUGGAUUAUUUCAACUGCCACAAUCCAUUAAGGGGAGGAGGAGGAUGGAAGAAACCAAGUGCUUCAUUUUUAACUGAAGCAAGGUAGGGAGUUUUAUUUUACUAUAAACAGCACAACCGUUAAAUGUCUUCAUUAAGCAAACUCACUUUUGAGCCCAUUUUCUGACCAACAGUCCUCAAAGUUCAAAAUGGAAAUACCCUCCCAACAAAGCCUGUUUUUUUAAAGACAUUGCACCACUGAAAUCUCAGCAGCUCAACCUUCCUGGGUAAUCCAGAUACUCUGGUUACUAAGCUGGUUACACUGGACUCUUUCUACAAUCUCUGGGAGCUCUUCGAGGUGGUUGUCACCUGUCCUCUGUUUCAUUUCCAGUUCUUCUUUUCCCUGACCUGCCUUCAGAUUCUCCUUUAACUUCUACCCUUGACCUGCCUUCUGUUUUCAAAUAGCCUUGUUCCUUCUCCAGGCAUGACAUGUCACACACCGUCCCUCGCAGAGCCCCCUCAGAAUCCUUCUGUCCCUCAAUCCCAAAUGCUUAAGUUCAUUUGCUUUGAGGACAACCGGUUGUCAGGCUAAGGCAGCAGUUCUGUCUGCCUUGGUAAAGGAAAGCAGAUAAUACAAUCCAGGAAACAUGAGCACCAGAACAUAAUGCCACAUUCAAAACAACGUCAUGCUGACAUCACACAAUGGCACCACUCACAGUCACUUUUACUUUCCCCAAGGGAUAGAUCAACAUUAAGUAACUUCAACAUUCCCAGCAGGGAUGGCAUUUCUCACAGAAUUUUACUGACACCGGUUGGUUUCUCUAAUUGGCAAAAAUUACAUUUGCAAUUUAAAAAAAAAUUACUACCACUUUGUAGAAAAUAAAUUCUACUGAGGGUGGGAGCAGACUUAAGGAUGGCUCCUUAAGAUGGAACGGAGCAUAAAAUGCUUUGGGUCUAACAGUUAUGUUUUUUCAGCCACAAAAAGCCAAAUUGAAUAUGUUCCUUUGAAAAAGGUCUCACUGACAUGUAACAAAUUUGUAUAGAAAAAAAAAAAAAAAAAAAAAAGGUGGUACCGGGCCACAUUUCAAUACUACUCAGAGACAAUGGUGGAUGUGCAUGCAAGUCCCCACUGAGUCCUACGAUAUAGAAAUUCCUUUGAUAUUACAAAAUACAAAAAUAUUUUAUCAGAACUCUCAUUUACAUUGCAUUUACAAUGGACAUGUAAAUAACUUAGUCUUGGGUCCUGGCUAAUAAACAAAUUACUUACUGAAAAAAGGGUCCUAAAAGUAAGAGAACCAGAGAGGAUAAAAGCGAGCAGGAAACAAUUUACCAUCUUGAGAGAUGGCAACUCAACACAGAACUGAUGGGAAGGAAGUGACCAAGCCUGGCCUCGAUAGAGUCUACUGUGUUUCCAAAGUGAAAUGUGCAAAUAAUAUUCAACAUGCCAAGAACUGUGACUACCUAUUGAGUCAACCUGUAACCUUGCCUCCAUCUACUGACAGCAUUUUCCCUUUUCUCCCCCAUAAGCCACCCCCAAAAGCGCUUUAACAUUUAAAACAGUGCAAGUUUCUGACUUUACAUUCUUAGCUCCCAUCUUCUCCCAUUCCCUGAUCCCAAUCAUAUUAAGAAAUGAUACAGUUUUUGCUCUUCUGUCUUUUCCUGCUGUGCAACUGUCCUCUGCCACCUAAUGUGGAAGAUUUGGGGAGGCCGUAGGAGCUGUAUUUGUGCAGCAGCUCAUCGCUUGUGACGUAUCGCAGGCGCGCUGGCUGGGGGAUGGGUUCUCCUAGGAAAUAGCCCUCGUUGUCAGACUCUGAAGAGGAGGAGCAGGUGGAACACCAAUCAUACUCGGCGAAGUAGGGUCCCCAGCGGUCCCCAAAGGCAUUCUGCAAAGCCAGGUCCGACACAGUCCUAGGGCACUGGCCGUACAGGUCCCUCCGGGACCCAUGCCCCAUGCUCUCCUGGAAGCUCCGCUGGCGCAUAAAUUGGUCAUAGUCCUCCCUGGCUCUCAGAGGGGGCCUAUCUUUUAACCGGGAGAUGGCCUCGCGUUCGCUGGCCAGGUGGAGGGCGUUGUCGGAGCGAGAGCGUCGGGAACGCCUGGACCUGUGAGGUCGGAAACGGCGGUUGUCGUCGCGUGAAGUAGCUCUUCUCCGGGUGCGUUCACUCAUGGGCUGGAUCCUCACGCCCUCCUGCCCUGGCAGCUUGCUGCCCGCCAUCCCUCCAUCAAAAUCAAAGCUCUGAUGCAUCCUUCCGUGGGACUGCAGGUCUCUGUAGCCAAUGGGGUUGCUGAGCUGGUGGAGGUUUCCCUCCAUCUCCUGGUACUGCUGGGCAGAGAGCAGGCUGCGAACUGACUCUGCGCUCCGGAACUGCAUGGACGAGUUAAGAGUGCCCAUGUUGCUCAGCUUCUCAGACACAUUCAUUCCAGAGUCUUUGCUGAGGUCAGGCAUGGAAAAUCGGGAUAGGUGCUCCUGGCGCUUGGCACCACCAUCAGCAGAGAGGCCUGGGGAAGAGAGGAGGGGACCACAGAGAUUAAUACAGAUGUGCAGCAAUGGGUAUCACUGUCACUGCUGGUCAUCUAUCUAGGGUCAUUAUAUACCGUUGUGAAGUUGUGUACUGCACAAAGGCCCUCUCAGGGGGCACAUGUGCCUGUGAGGGGGUUCUCUCCACUCCACAGUAGGUCACUAUCUACCUAGAGGGGGCACUUACUUAAAAUGCUUCCAGAGAUGUAUUUUACCAGUUACUAGUUCCUCCAAAGGCUCAUCAAAGUUACUAAGAGCCCACUGUGUAUCCUAUGUAUGAUGCUUCCUCUAUUUGGAGUUUCACUUUGCAAAGUACUUUAAUUACAUUUUUGAUUCUAAUCAUGCACUAUAAGCUCUGUAGGACAGAUAUUUUGGAUGAGCAAACUUUAAGCUCUAGAGGCUGGAUCAUGCCCAAGCUGUUUCUGGCAAUACCAAACACUGGUUCCACAAUAUUGGGCCAGUUCACUUCUCUGUUAGCCCGCAGCAGUUUCCUGCUUUGCCUGCUGUCCCUAAGUGGCAGGUGGCUCCCUAUCAAAAGUGUCUUGGACACUAAGUGACUCCCUAGAUAUAGAUAGAGAAAUAUUUACUCUCUCAGACCAUUCAGUGAAUGCUCCAAGGUUGUAAAUGGGUCUCUAGCAGCCAGAAGAUGUGUGUGGGACCCCAAGGGACCUCUCGGUCGCACGGGGAGGGACUUUCAAAAGUAAAGCAGUGGGUUUGAUGCUCUCAAACAGUGGGUGCCCCAGCAAUGGACCUCCAUUUCUUAACUGCUGUCAAAUGAGCUCUUGGCAUCCCUGAGAUGAAAACCAUUUUGAAGGUAGUGGGAGAUACUGACUGCAGUAACUUCCAUUUUGCUCAUUUUCAGGCAGAGCUCUCUAAGGAGAUGUUUAAGAAUGGGCCAGGUGGCAAAGUCUCAGCAUUUUCCACUCAUUACAUAUUGCAAGGAUCAGCAAUUUGCCAUUCCUGGUCAUAGACAACAUGCCUUUGGAUUGCAAUGGCCCAUUAUCACCCCUGCUACUGAUUAUUCCUGUCUCCUACUGGGGCCUCCAACUUCCUCUUCCGUGACAAAACCUAAAGCAGUGUUACGAGCACUUUGCAAAAUUACUUGGCAAUAUUUACUAAAGCUAAAUACACAUAUACGUAUAUGAAUUAUAAAUAAAGCCGCUCUGAAUAUCCUUGGCCAUUUUUUGUGGACUUAUGAAUUUCUGUUGGGUGUACGACCAAGAGUAGAAAUUCCACAAUUCUCCAUCUUCACUCUUGAUUAUAUAUUCAUCAGAAGUUAGUAAGAAGGUCCAAGAAAUGGACAAGGGUACUCAGAGAAGCUUUCUUGUAAUAGCCCAGAAACGGAAACAACUCAAAUGUCAAUUAUCAGGAAAAUGGAUAAAUAUAUUGUGGUUUUUUCUACCAUUCCCCACUAAAAGGAAUCCAGGCUCUUUAGAAAGAUGGCCAAUUCCAGGAUAAAGGCAAGGAAAUUAAAAGAACCAGGAUCUUGUUAUGCCAUAAAGUGAGAAAGUAUUAAAAAUAAGAUAUGGCAGGGGUUUGUCAGAAGGACACAGGGCCUAACUUGAAGGGGCCCCCACUGGCCAAAUCUGAACAAUUUGAGCACUCAAAUAUUUAAGUGAAGUAAUGAUUUAUAAACCACUGAAACAAAUAGGAAUUCACAAGUCCAUGCUGAUAGCAGAUAAAUAAAAACAUAAAUAAAUACACAAACAGGGAAAAGAGAGGGCUCUAUGUAUAGUGGAAUGCCAACCGCUGUCAGUAGAGUAAGUUCACAAGAAGGAAGGGGGUGCCAGAUUUGGAAAGUCAUUUUAUAACCAUUGGAGGUAGAGUGCUUCACACAAGAAUCAAAAAGUGUGCUAAAUUUAGGGGGUAAAAUUUGAUGGGGGAGAGCAUUGUUUUAAAGUGUUUCCCUACACAUUGCUUAUUAGUUGCAAGGGAAGAAUUAGUAACUAAACAAAGGUAAAAUCAGACAACACCUUGACCUUAAGUUCAAACUUAACAUCCCUGGUGAGAUGCAACUGCACCCUGCAUGCCUCCAGUUGAGAUGUACUCAGAAGGGCACACUAUCCCUUAUGUAGUAUUCCAGUCAAGAAUGUAUUACCCGAAUGCAUUCAGGAGGAAACAUUAGACAGAUGCCAAAAGGAGGGACAUUUGUUAUGAAAAAAGGGACUGUAGUCUUAAGACCAGACAAGACUGAGAGAAUGUUCUAGAUGAAAGGGUACGAGGGAAACAUGGCAAUUACAUAUAAUACCUGAUCCUGGACUGGAACCUGCUCUUUAGGGAAACUAAAUGCUAUAAAGUAGGGGUUCCCAGACCUCAGGCUACAGACUGGUUAGGAGCAGGGCCACACAGAAGGAGGUGAGUGGUCAGUAAGGGAAGCUUCAUCUGCAUGUACAGCCACUCCCCAUUGCUCCAACUACUGCCUGACCUCUGCCUCCUGACAGAUCAGCAGCAGCAUUAGACUCUCAUAGGAGUGUAAACCCUGUUGUGAACUGCUCAUGCAGGAUCUAGGUUGUGUGCUCCUUACGAGAAUCUCAUGCCUGAUGAUCCAUAACUGUCUCCCAUUACCCCUAGAUGGGACUGUCUAGUUGCAGGAAAACAAGCUCAGGUCUCCCACUGACUCUACCUUAAAGUGAGUUGUGUAAUUAUUUCAGUAUAUAUUACAAUGUAGUAAUAAUAGAAAUAAAGUACAUAAUAAAUGUAAUGCACUUGAACCAUCCCAAAGCCAUCCCCACCCCCUGGCCCCAGUCUGUGGAAAAAUUAUCUUCCAUAAAACCGGUCCCUGGUGCCAAAAAGGUUGGGGACUGCCUCUAUAAAGGAUAACUUUUGGUCAACUGAAAAAAAAAUGGAACAUGGGCAAUAGAUAAAAGUAUUAUGCUAAAUUUACUGUGGUCAAUUAAUAAUGGUGAUAAUGUGGGAGAAGAUCUUUACUCUUGGGAAAUAUAUAUGGAAGGAUAUGGUGGUAAAUGGCCCAGAUGGAUGCAAUUUGCUCUCAAAUGGUUUAUAAAUAAAAUGUGUGUGUGUGUGCGUGUGUGUGCAUGCAUGUGAACAUGAAAGAACAAAUGUGGCAAAAGGUUAACAAUGGAUCAAUCUACGUAAAGAGUACAUUACAGGUGUUGUUUGUUCUAUUUUUAUAACUUUUUUUAAGUCUGAAAUUAUUUCCAAAUAAAAAGUUUCUUUAACAUUAGAAUAUAUUCAUCUGAUAUGAUGGUUUUUAAUUCUGAAGGAAAUUUGGAAACAUCUGGACACAUUUUUGGUUGUCACUAUUAGGAUGGGAUUCUCCUGGCGUCUAGUAGGUAGAGGCCAGAGAUGUUGCUAAACAUCCUACAGUGUGAAGGAUGGCUUCCUUGCCUCCACACAGAAUUUUCCAAACCAAACUGUCAACAGUCUCAGAAGAAACCCUGAUAAAAUGGAAUAUUACACAAUAAUGAGAACGAAUAACUACACCCAAGAACAUGGAUGUAUCUCAUAGAAAAUGCUUGGACAUGCAAAAAGAAUAUGUGCUGUAUGAUUCCAUUUAUAUGAAGUUCAAGAACAGGCUGAGGCUAUCUAUAGUGAUACAGGUCAGGGCAGUGGGAGGAGGGGGUAUGAAGAAGGCUUCUAGGGCACUGCAAUUGUUCUAUAACUAAAUCUGGAUGGUGGCUGUAAAACAAUACACAUGUGUAAAAAUUCACUGAGAUGUAGUUUUAAUAUUGGUUUGCUUUAUUCUGUGUAAAUUAUAUCUCAAUAAAAUGGAGUAAAAGUAAAGCAACGUUUGGCCAGGUGUGGUGGCUCAUGCCUGUAAUCCCAGCACUUUGGGAGGCCAAGGAGGGUGGACUGCUUGAGCUCAGGAGUUCAAGACAAACCUGGGCAACAUGGUGAAACCCUGUCUCUACUAAAAAUACAAAAAUUAGCUGGGCAUGGUGGUGCGUGCCUGUAGUCCCAGCUACUUGGGAGACUGAGGUGGCAGUAUCACCUGAGCCCAGGAGGUGGAGGCUGCAGUGAGCCGAGAUUGUGCAACUGUGCUCCAGCCUGGGCAACAGAGCGAGCCCCUGUCUCCAAAAAAUAAACAAAUAAAUAAAUAAAAAAUAAAACAAUGUUUGUUAAAGGGUCAAAUUUUAACAUUGGAUAUGCCUAUAAAGAAAUUAAUCAGCUAAAUAUCAUAUACUCCAGUAAUUUUUUGUUUCAAUUUCGUUCCUGGGAUAACUGUCAGGGCAAUAGCAGCUGGGGCCUCCAAUCGCUUGCUUACUCUGCUGCUUAUCUCUUACAUACAAAUCAUAAAAGCCGAUUUACAACAGCCUAAUCACUUCCAGAGCCUCCCCAAUAUGAAAGCAGAGAGGAGAGGAUAACAACCUAAGAUGAUGAAUGAGUGGUUUGAGUGGAUGAACUCUAGUAAGAAAGGAAAGAAAACAUCUUCAAACUCAUGUCUAGAAACAAAAGGUGGACACAAUGAUCUUUGCAGGGCUUUCCAACCUAGCUCUUGAGUAGAAUUAGGGUCAGCAUAAAUAACUUAGCAAAUACUAUUAAUUCCCCAGCAUGCUGUUUUCCCGAACCUGUCUUUCAUAAGCCCAGAAGUGAAAUGUUUUUGAGAGCAUCCUGCUUGUGAACAGAUUCCUAUUUCCGUGAGGAGGUGACCUCGAAGAAGAGCAGCUUCUAUUCUGCUGGGAGGUGUACUGCCUUCUGGUAUCAGGCUUCUGCAUCCCGGGAAAGCUCGGGAUAACCUGAGGCACCCCCUUGAAAAACAAAAGAGCUUGAUCAGAGCAGGAGGGUCCUGUUGCACAAGCCCAGCAUCUACUAUCAGUUUCACCUAAAUGUAAGCCAUUCAUUCCCCUGGACUAUGUGUGGGUGGGACUGGAAAUACUACCUGCUCACUCUAGAGAGGAGAAAUGCCUCUCUUCUGAUUCAUUAACUCAGAUUUUCCUCCAGGGUCUUCUUGCAUGCAGGGCAUGAACAGAAAGGCCAAUGUUGACCAAAGAUGAGCAAUAACUGUGUACUUGCCUCUAGAAAGGGUAGUUCUGUGGUUACUUUCAUUACUGGCAAAAUCUAGAAUCCUUACGCAGACCUUAAGGCCCUACGUGACUUGGCUCUCUUCUCUUUCUCCAAGAUAAUCAACUAAACACUCCUCCUCGCUUAACUCUGCUUCAGCUGUGCUUACAUUCCUCCCUGUCUCCCCAAACACAACAAUAAGCUUAUUCCAGCAGGCCUUGGAAAACUCUUCCCUUUGCAUGCCUGACUUCUGUUUGUUAAAGUCCUCGUGUAGAUGUCACCUCCUCAGCAGUGUCAUUUCUGAACACUCCUUCUAAAGUAGCAAAGUUAGUUGUCUUCUGGCCAACCACUCACUAUUGCACUUGACCCUUUUUUAAACUACUCACCCUGACUUAUUAAGGUCAUAUGUAAGUUUGUAGCUGAAUGAAUCCCCUGGGAGCCAGGAUCUUCUCCCUACUCUUCACUGUAUUCUUGCAGAGCUAGCAGUGCCCAGUACCCUUUGGUGCUCAAUACAUACUCAUGGAAUAAACGUAAAUGGAUUCUCAUGUUACCCACAGCUUGGAAAAAAGCAACCACCCUCCAACCUGGAGUGGGUCAGUGCUGUGAUCCACAUGGGUGGGAUUCCAAACAUCCAGAAAAAAAUACCAUGAUCACACCUGUCAAUCUCCAUCUCUGGUGAUUCAUUAUAUAGCCCACCAUCUGGGGUUUCUCCAAUUUUAAAGUCAAAGUACACGUGAUUUAUAAUGAGCUCCCUGCACUGCAGAAAUGUUUUCUCCUUACUAAUCACAGCUCUGUUGAUGUGUUUAAAUUAGCAGCUGAUACUGUCCCCAAGAUGGAACUGUACUGUCACAGGUCACACUCCAACUUGAGAAGCACUCCUUUCCCCUCUAACUACGAACAGAACUGGAGAGCUACUUUCUGGCUGGGUGACUUGGGGAAAUUUGUAAACCUCUUGAGAUGCAUCAGUAAGAUGGGCAUAAUGACAGGAAGUGAGUACUAAAGCUGUAGUGAUGAUUAGAUGAGGAAAAAUAUAUCUUUCCUUUUUAAGGUUCAUCAUGACUAUGGUGCAUCUGUGUAGUUGUUGUUUCAUCUCUGUCUUCUUGACAGAUCAGCAGCUCCAAGAGGGCAGAAACUGUGCUCCUGUUUGCUAGCCCUGACCUCAUACCUGGUAUUCAGUAUGCAGGAAGAAGGUUUAGUAAGGCCUAAAAUUCCCCAAGGAAAGAAAGCAUGCCUCAAGACUGUGAAUGCCCUCCAGACAUUUACAACUCAUACUGAUGAUUUAGCUCCCUUUCAGUAGGGUCUUUCCUAUAUUAUUUAUUAUUUAUGUGCUGGGGCAGAGACAUGAAGAAAAUGGAGCUGUUUAGAACAGGAGUUUGCAAACUGCAAUGGCCAGUGAACCAAAUCCAGCUCACCGCUCACUGCCUGUUUUUCUAAAUAAAGUUGUAUUGGAACACAACCACACCUAUUCAUUUGCAUAUUGUCGAGGGUUGCUUUCUGGAGUUGGGAGUUGUGACAGACUGUAUGACCUGCAAAGACUCAAAUAUGUUACAGGCAAACAAAUAUCAUUGAAUGCAUGAUUGUAUGGAUUAAUGAAUUUGAGAAACAGGGCCUGAUGCACUGAUAUCCACUUGAACGCCAGCCACUGUUGUAAAUUAUCUGUGCCUCCAAACCGUGGCUGGGAUUCCUCCUCUACACAGACGAAGCUCAACUCUUCACUCCAUUUGUCUGUGCUGAACACGACACAGUGUCAAAAUAAUGCAAAUCAAUAGAAUCCAACCUAAUGGGGCUCUAACAUGCCCUUACUCUCCUGUAAUAAACACAUUUUUCUUUUCUUGUUGUUUAAGCCAUGGGGUGUGUGUGUGUCUGUGUGUGCGUGCUCAAGCACAUGUGUGAUAGGGAGGUGGGAGCUGCAAGCUAAAUUUGCCAGAGAACUCUGGCUGCAGCACAUAGUCCAGGGCAGUAUCAGUACCCCUACAUCCUCUGGAGGAUCUGGCAGAAGAAUCCCACCUGAUGGCAAGGAGACACAGAUAUCAGGUCAUUUCCCUCUCAAGCAGAGCUCUGUUUUCUUAAUUAACAGAGAGGGUUUUUCCCUGCCAAAUAAUGCAGGCUUUAUGAGAGGUGCUCAGGGUGAUGAUAGAGUUAAACGCAGUGAUUUAUCCAUAUCCCAAGGGUCAGUGUGACUGGGAGCUACGCAAAUGUCCAUGCACCACAGGGGUGCAGGUUCCCUUAAGAUCCUUGGCUGUGCUUCUACAAAGAGAGGUCAGCAUCCAAUUCAGCCUGUGGUUCUCUGUGGUUUAACUGCCAGCAUGAAGGUGCAUUUGGGGCAUUCUAUGGUACACUGGCAUUUCUGUCUGAGAAAUGUUUCCCUCUCUACAAAUAGGAGGUCUCACAGAAACUGGCCUCUGCGAGAAAAUCAAUGUUCUUCAAAGAAUGCUCAAGGUCUGAUGGAACGGAAAGAAAAUAUUUGCUGGCUCCCCUCCCCCACAUGUCUUUGUGGGCAAAAUGUAUGCAUGCAAGUCCAGAAAGAAGAAAAAGACUAAGAUUGAACGGCAGACUUUAGGCACAUCUUUCUGUUCCUUAUUUAUUGUCCUGUCUUAUCCCACUCCGCACCAGAAGACAGAGAGCUGUGUUUCUGCCAACUUCAAAGAUACAUUACCAGGCACGGUGGCUCACUCCUAUAAGCCCAGCGCUUUGGGAAGCUGAGGUGGGAGGAGCUCCUGAGCCCAGGAGUAUGAGACCAGCCCUGGAAACAUACUAAGACCCCCUAACUACAAAAACAAAAAACAGAAAAUUAGCCAGGCAUAGUGGUGUGCACCUAUAGUCCCAGCUACUGGGGAGGCUGAGGCAGUAGGAUCACGGUUACAGUGAGCUAUGAUGACACCACUGCACUCCAGAGCCUUUCAAAAAAUAACUUUUUUAAGCAUUCAUAUUUCACAUUUCUGUGCAGUAAAGGAAAUAGUAUCUAUUCAACCAUGUCCUCCAGACAUUUACAACUUAUACUGAUGACGUAGCUCCCUUUCAUUAGGGUCUUUCCUAUAUGAUUUUUAUUUUCUUUUUUGCUGAGAUAGAAACAUGGAGAAAAUGGAAUUGUUUAGAACAGCGGUUUGCAAACUACAGUGGCAAUGGGCCAAAUCCAGCUUACUGCCUGUUUUUGUAAAUAAAUUUGUAUUCAAACACAACUACACCUAUUCAUUUGCAUGUUGUUGGUGAUUGCUUUCCAGAUUUGGGGAGUUGUGACAGACUGUAUGACCUGCAAAGCCUCAAAUAUUUACUUUCUGGCCCUUUAUAGACACAGGUUGUCAACCUCUGGUUUAGCAUGCUGCGGCAAGCCUGAACAGCCCCGAAGUCAUGGGCGCUACACAGUUGAAGCCUCUCAGACCGUGCAAAAAGUGUCCCAAGGUACAUAUUUGUUUGUUUGAAGCAUGUGUGGCGGUAGCUUGAUCAGGUCCCUUGGGAUCCUUUCUCCAACUAAGUCAAUCGAUUUCCUCAACAUCCCGAACUUCAAAUUGGCAACAGCUGGAGAGAUACUGUCAUCUGGGCAGUGGAGCUUAAACGCCACCACAUGUUUCUUGGUGACAGGGCAUGGAAUGGCUCAAACAGAGUAUGACAAAGAAGGCUGGGGGUGGGGACAGAAAGAGGAGAGUGGGACAAUAUGAAUGCACUCGAAAGUGUGAUCUGUGGACCAGCCACGAUGCCAUCCCUUGGGAGCUGGUUGCAGACUCUCAGGCCCUCACCGGACUUGCAGAAUUCAAAUCCACAUUUGAACGAGAUCCCUGGUGAUUCUCAUGUUCAUGAGAGUUAGAGGAACACCAAGAUGAUGGGAGUUUCAAGGACGAUUUUCUUUGCAACACAAGGGUGCUUCUACUCCAGGAAACAAGACCCUCACACUCUCAGAGACUCUAAUUCAGGGUUUCCCAACCUCAGUACUACUGACAUUUCGGGCUGGAUAAUUCUUUGUUUGGUGGGCUGUCCUGUGCACUUCAGGAUGUUCAGCAGUAUCUCUGGACUCUACCCACUAGAUGCCAGUCACACAUCCCUCUGGUUGUGACAGCCCCGAAAUGUCUCCAAACAGUGCCAAAUGUCCCUGGAGGGCAAAAUCGCCCCCAACUGAGGACCGCUGCUCUAACAGAUCCUGUCCUCCACCUGCUGCUUGACCAUAGCCCAAGGGGAGCUCUGUUCCUGUCCACCCAGUUGUUGGAGUGAGUUAAACCUGCUCUACCCCAUCCUGCAGACAGGAGCCUCGUCACGAUGGGGGUUGCCGCUCCUUCUUUCUAGAGAAGGAUUAUCAGGGCUCUGCCUGGUUGGGUGUGGUAUGUCCCCAAAACUGGGGAACUCUAAAAGUUAUUUUCUCUCUAAACUCUUCUCAGAAAAUUCACAUUCCUUUCUCUCAGUGGCUAUCAAGAACUCCCCAGUUAAGGCCUUUGCUGUCUAAUUUUCCUGGCAGGUUUGAAGCUUUUGAAAUCCUGAGUUUUUGAUGUAUCUCUUUUACUUCCUUACUCCAGCCACUGGCCUAUCUAGCAGGUCUCAGGUGAUCAGCAGAUCACAAGUUGGCUUGCAGUCAGUUACACAUCUGUCAUCUGCUCUGGUGCUACCAGGAUCAGUGCUGGUAGUCUAAGGAAUGAUUUCCUCUGCCAGCUGCACUGGGGAAGGGAAAGGGAAAGGGGAGGCCAAGCCCUGGGGCAGGGGUGGGGGAGGAGGGGAGUGUGCAUAACUUCUUACUUCACACUCCCACCCCCAGGCUUGGCCUGCCUUCCCUCUCAGUCAGGCAUGGGCUGUUUAGGCCCAAACUAAAUAACAGCCUCUUUACAACCAGCUGCUUCCAAAGAGGGUCAUGGACUGAUCUUGGUUUUCCCAACAAUAGCGGCUUUGUUUUUUAGCAGCAUUCAUUCUAGGGACUUGCCUUUGAACUGGAGGUUGGGGAGUGACAAGCAUUAUAAUGGGACUAGAAUCACUUCUCUGACAGACCCAGUACAGUUACAAGGACAAGUCAGAUAAAAACUUGAGUGUGGAUUGGAGGUUUCUUACCUUCUAUCCCUUUCCUUGCUCAUCCUAUUAACUUCCGGAUAAAUCAGUGACCCCAAUAAAGAUGGAGUCAAUUUUAACUAAAACCACUUGUAAAAGUGAAGGAGGAAACCAGGAAGGGACAUCUUCCAGAAUCAUGUGGAGUCAGUUUUAACUAGUACCACUCAGCUCCAUGGGGGAUUCUGGUUGUAUUGCCACAAAGCAUAUUGCUAAUUGAAAGGAUACACAACAAAUUCAGACCAGUUGAAGAUUUUUUUGCCAGAGUUUGCUCUGGGUUUACACUGACCCCAUGCUGCUUUCUAGAACCCAUUAGUCUGGGUCAACAAGCAGACCAUGCUGUAUUUACUUGGGAAACACUUGACUACAGGAGGACAAAAGCUAAAUGGCUCCCAAGUGGUAGAGAGUGGGCAGCCAAGAACCUGGGGACCCACUGAGUUGCUUCAAAGAUCUUUGACAAAGCCCUGCUAUUGCCAGGCACUGGGAGCACAACUGUGAACAAGGCCCUUUAAGAGGACAACGUAGAAGGAUAUGACCUAGUGCAGGGAGAACAGAUAACCAAGUCAGCAUAGCAAGGUGACCGUUACAGAUAAUAAUCACUAGGAAGGAAAUAAAGGGGAUGCUAUGGCAGAGAAUAAAGACUGGACCUACUUUGAGUGCUGGAAAAGAACUCUGUGUUGGUGAUGACUAUGGGGAGACCUAAAGGAUGAGAAGGAGCCCACCCAGCCAAGGGCAGGGAAAAGUGUUCCAGGCAGAGGGAGCAAGAAUAUUUUGUACUAGAGAAGGUGCCACGAGCUCUAAGAUGUAGCAGAGGGGCAAUGACACUGGAACAUUGUGAGCAAGGAGGACAGCAGCAGGAAUGAGGCUCAGAAGGUGAAAAGGAGCCACACGGAGGUUCUUCCUAGUCCACUCUGGGUUUUA